UUUUUUUUUGUGUCUUAGUAUGCCACAAACAUCCUUGCUGUACACACCUUUUGAGAGAGCCAUACAUGAAUUAAAAUUUGAUAGAAUACUCUAUGUGCUUCACUUAUAUCUUUUGAGCUAAGUAGUUUUGCUCUAUGUGCUUCACUUAUAUCUUUGGAGCUAAGUAGUUUUGCUCUGUGUGCUUCACUUAGAUCUUUUAGAGCACGGUGGUGGAUUUGUUUUAAAGAAACUAUUGAUCUCUCAUGCUUCACUUAAAUUAUUUUGAGAGUCUCUUAAUAGCAUGGUAAUUUGCUUAAUAAUAAUAUGCAUGGUAUUCAAGAUUUGUGAAACUUUCUUUUGAGUGUGUUGAAUACUAAGAAAAGAUUGAAACAUGAUAAUUGUUUUGAGAUAUGGAGGUGAUAAUAUUAAAGUAAUGCUAGUUGAGUAGUUGUGAAUUUAAAGAAUACUUGUGUUAAAGUUUGUGAUUCCCGUAGCAUGCACAUAUGGUGAACCGUUAUGUUAUGAAGUGGGAGCAUGAUUUAUUUAUUGAUUGUCCUCCUUAUGAGUGGCGGUCGGGGACGAGCAAUGGUCUUUUCCUACCAAUCUAUCCCCCUAGGAGCAUGCGCGUAAUACUUUGCUUUGAUAACUUCUAGAUUUUUGCAAUAAGUAUAUGAGUUCUUCAUGACUAAUGUUGAGUCCAUGGAUUAUACGCACUCUCACCCUUCCACCUUUGCUAGCCUCUCUAAUACCGCACACCUUUCGCCGGUAUCAUACACCUACCAUAUACCUUCCUCAAAACAGCCACCAUAACUACCUAUUAUGGCAUUUCCAUAGCCAUUCUGAGAUAUAUUGCCAUGCAACUUUCCACCAUCUAGUUCAUCAUGACACAUUCGUCAUUGUCAUAUUUCUUAGCAUGAUCAUGUAGUUGACAUAGUAUUUGUGGCAAAGCCACCAUUCAUAAUUUGUUCAUACUUGUCACUCUUGAUUCAUUGCAUAUCCCGGUACACCGCCGGAGGCAUCCAUAUAGAGUCAUACUUUGUUUUAGAAUCGAGUUGUAAUCAUUGAGUUGUAAAUAAAUAAAAGUGUGAUGAUCAUCAUUCAAUAGAGCAUUGUCCCAAAAAAAAGAGAAAGGCCAAAGAAAAAAAUAAGGCCCAAAAAAAAGAAAAUAAAUAAAAAGGGGCAAUGCUACUAUCUUUUUUUCCGCACUUGUUCUUCAAAGUAGCACCAUGAUAUAGCAAGUCUCAUAUAUUGUGCUUCAAAGUAGCACCAUGUUCUUCAUAUAGAGAGUCUCAUAUGUUGUCACUUUCAUAUAGUAGUGGGAAUUUUACAUUAUAGAACUUGGCUUGUAUAUUCCAAUGAUGGGCUUCCUCAAAUUGCCCUAGAUCUUUGUGAGAAAGCAAGUUGGAUGCACACCCACUAGUUUCUUUUGUUGAGCUUUCAUACAUUUAUAGCUCUAGUGCAUCCGUUGCAUGGCAAUCCCUACUCACUCACAUUGAUAUCUAUUGAUGGGCAUCUCCAUAGCCCGUUGAUACGCCUAGUUGAUGUGAGACUAUCUUCCCCUCCUUUUUGUCUUCUCCACAACUACCAUUCUAUUCCACCUAUAGUUCUAUAUCCAUGGCUCACUCUCAUGUAUUCACUACUAGGGAAAAGGCUAGCAGCAGCGCGGGUUUUAGGUGUAUCAGCAGCGCGGGGACCGGCGCUACUAAUAAGGCGCUACAGCUAAUAGUUAGCAGUAGCGUGGGAGAAACCCGCGCUACUACUAACUUUGUUAGUAGUAGCGUGUGCCACCCACGCUACUGCUAUUAUAGACUCGCGCUACUACUAAUGAAGUAGUAGUAGCGUGCCUACAAUACCAGCGCUACUAGUAUCCUAAAUACUAGUAGCGCACAGUUUUUUCCCACGCUACUACUAACUUAUUAGGAAUUAAAAAAAUAAAAUCAACCAAUUACAUUCCAUCACACAAUUCCUCUUUGUAGCGGCAACUCAUGUAUAAUUCAAAUCACACAGUGUUAUGCGUAGCAACUUGGUAAGCAACUACCUAAGUAAGCUCUACUGCUAUUAACUUGGUAAGCAACUACCUAAGUAAGCUCUACUGCUAUUACACAUCGGGCAGCCUCAAUGAGCCGCACCUGACCGAUGGCAGCCGCCGUCGUGACUUGCGACACCAUCAUGUCCCUCUCCCUGGCCCUCGGCUCCAGCUGGCCUCAAUCGAUGUCGUCCUCGUGCCUGCCUUGCCACUAGCGGGCUGCUUCUCCUCUGCUCGCCUAGGUACCCUACUUCUCCUCAGCGCUCCCGGGCCCAGGUUCCCUACUUCUCCUCGCGUCUCCAGCAGCAGCGAUCCGGAGGCGGAUCCAGCAGCACGCCUAGGUCACAGAUCCCAGGUCCUCAGCGCUCCAGCAGCAGCGAUCUAGGGCCUUCUUCUCCUACUCGUUCUUCUCCUGAGCAUGCUCCUACUUCUCCUACAACAAAAGCAACAUCAGGUCAAUGACAACAGCAGCAGGUCAAUAACAACAGCAGCAACUCCUGGGAAUGCUUCAAUUUAAGUCCAUUUCUUUGAUCAACAACUUAUGCUAAGGACGACGUGCUAUCGAACUUUGGAAAGUACAAUAUGAAUAUGACAACAGCAGCAGCAGUUUUACAACAAAAACUAAACUACUAAAAUUACAGCAAAUGCAAGUUAACUAAACAUUUUGAUCUAUUGCAAGUUCAUUGAUCUCCAUUACCUACUGGAGUACUCCAUUUUAAGCUACUGAAGCUACUCUAACUAUCCUAUUUUACUCUAACGGAAACUAAACUAAGCAAGCACUACUGCUUGCAAGUCCUACACUAAACUAAACAAUCAUGAUUUCUAGCAACAGCAAUCAUCAUCUUCAAGUCCUAACUUAACAGCAGCAAAGAGAAGAAGAGAAGAAGAGAAAAGAGGAGAAGAGAAGAAAAGAGAUGAGAAGUUUCUGUUAAGGAAAAAUAAUUACUCCUCUCUUCAAAUGAAUCAAAUGGGUAGCUCUAUACUGCAUGUUCAAUUAAAGUAACUGAAAAUGUUUCUGUUAACUUAAAUUAACAGAAAAAGGUUUUAUUUGAAGUAACUAAAAAAGGUUUCAGUUAAAUUGACUGAAAAAGGUUUCAGUUAACUGAAGAGAGGUUCCAUUUAAUCCAUUUACAGUACUCCUAAUGCUUGUGCUGCAGUAAAACUACUCCUAAUGCUACCAUAGUUAACAACAACUGAAAUUACUGUAAUGUUCAAAUAUUACAGUACAUACUCCACUGAAUAUUACUGAAACUUAAUAGAGGUCGGAAAAUAUGCUUCGUUUCAGAUAAAUUUUGACAAAUCCAGUGUGACAACUUCAUUUCAGUCAAAUUUUGUCAAAUCCAUUGUUACAGGCUAGCAGCAGUAGCUUAGUUACAGAAUUGGGAGUAGAAGUUGUUACAGGCUAGUAGUAGUAGCUACAAAUUUACAACUUCAUUUCAGAAAAAUUUAUAACUUCAUUUCAGAAUUAGGAGUACAACUUGAUUUCACUAAAUCCAGUGUUACAGGUUAGCAGUAGUAGCAAGGGAACUGUAAGAUUAACAAAGCUACAGAAAAUCAACAAGCUAUUUCAAAGGAUGAUUCAUGACUAACAAAGGUUGGCCUUGGCGAAGCUGCACAUUCAUGACUAAGCUACAAAAGUUGGAGUAACAGAAGCUACAGAAGCUUCACAGGAAGAUUAACAAAGACAUGCAAGAUUAACAAAUCAACUACGGUGUUGGAUGGAUGGAUGGACGACAAGGAAAUUACCAUGAGGAUGACGACGCCGUGGCGCCGUGGCGGGGCAGGGCCCGCGCUACCAAGGUGGGGGCACCAUUAGGACGACGAUGCCGCUCCGCUGGUCCGACGCGCUGCUACUCCGGCGUCGCUCUAGAUCCGCCACUUGGGCCACACUCUAGGUCCGCUAGUCCACAUCCAACGCCUCCAUCGCUCACAUACAGCACGGGCGCAAGCCUCCGUCGCAUAGAAGCUCAUCACCGGCGCAAAAAAACUCAAUCUUUUCACCUAAGUACGUUGGUGGACACCUUCAGACAGAUGUGGGAAUUAAUCCCUGCAGCAUUAAUCAAGGAUACAACAAAAAAAUGUCAAGGGGACACCUUCAGACCGAACUUAUUCUUUGCAUAAAUGAGAAAUCUGAAGCCCUUCUUGUACUUUUGCCGCUGCUACUACUACAACCUAAGCACUAACAACCAAUGAGCAAGAAAUAUAAUGCAGGAAGAAAAGAAUACAUCCAUCUGAAGCCCUUCACAUGAACCAGAUCCUCUUACACGUGCAGAAUAUCAACAUUGGCCAACUAAAAUCAGUCACAAACAUGGAUUUCACAUGCAGGUCAGCAGUAAACCACGCAUCUACGCAGGUCAACUAGGAUAAGCAGGUGAACAAAAUCUUCAUCUAACGAGGAAACUCCGAUGAAAGAUACCAUCUCUUGCUCUGUAUCUUCUGUAGACAUUCUUACACUGAAUUUAUGAACACAUUCUUCUACUAUCCACUACUUACUAGUCACAGGGAUUGAAUGCUAAAAUCAAGGUACUACAACAAUCUAGUCUAGAUAAACAACACAGGGCGCAGGGGGAAGUCCUCUUCGUAACAAAAUCUCGCGGAAACCGCCUCAUUAGUUGGAAUUAGGAUGCCAUGGCAAGACGAACUGAAAAAAGGAAAAAAGGCGGCCACACUGACCCUGAUGAACUCGGCGGGGACGCCGCAGACGCGCUCGACGAGCAGGCCGGUGCCCUCGAGCUCGCGCACCAGGCGCGCCACGCUGUCCUUCCCCACUUGCACACGGCCUACCAAAUCGAAUCCAAGGGGGUCAGGGGCUACCUGCAGUGAAGAGAAAGAGAGGAUAAUGGGGAACCUCACCUCCAUGGCGUCGGUCCGCACUAGCAGCAGCAGGAGGAGGGUCGGAGGAGCAAGUAGUAGGACCACCGGCGGGCCGUCUGCAUCGGCGGCGGGCAAGAGGGAGCCCUCCCCACGCCGCACCGCACCCGGAGAAGGGGGCCCCUAGCUAGGGUUUGGGGAUGGCACAAGGGCACGGCGAGGAGGAGGAUCCGCACGUGAGGUGGGGGGCGCCGGUGGUGGGGUUGGGGAGAGGAGGUCGUUGGCGUCGGUGGUGGCGGCGGGGUUGGUUGGGGGAAACGUGGGGAGUGGAGGACGAGGAGAGGCGUCGUGGGAGAGAAAGGCAUAGCAGGGGUGAGAGGCUGAGGUGGGCGGCAAGGAGAUAACUUAACAGUAGCGUUGGGUUUAUACCCCACGCUAAUCCAACGCUACUACUAUGGUAUGUCUUGGGUGCACAGUUGAGACCAUUUAGUAAUAGCGUGGGAUUUAUAACCCGCGCUGCUACUAUCAACUUAGUUGUAGCGUGGGUUUAUAACCCGCUUUACUACUAUGGCUGGUCCGGAGGGGCACGGUGAAAAUCACUUAGUAGUAGCGAGGGUUAUAAAACCGCGCUACUACUAUCAACUUAUCAGUAGUGCGGUUCCUUUAAGCUCGCUACUGCUAGUUAGCAGUAGCGCCUGUUUUUAAACCGCGCUGCUGCUAAGAUUCUGUGUAUAACGUUUUCCCUAGUAGUGAUUGCGUGAAGACUGAAAAAGUUUUGAAAAAGUUAGAGUAUGAAACAAUUGCUUGGCUUGUCAUCGGGGUUGUGCAUGAUUUAAAUACUUUGUGUGGUGAACAUGGAGCAUAGCCAGACUAUAUGAUUUUGUAGGGAUAACUUUCUUUGGCCAUGUUAUUUUGAGAAGACACAAUUGCUUUGUUAGUAUGCUAGAAGUAUUAUUAUUUUAUGUCAAUAUAAACUUUUGUCUUGAAUCUUUCUAAUCUUAAUAUUCAUACCACAAUUAAGAAGAUUUGCAUUGAAAUUAUGCCAAAUAGCACUCCGCAUCAAAAAUUCUCUUUUUAUCAUUUACCUACUCGAGGACGAGCAGGAAUUAAGCUUGGGGAUGCCUGAUACGUCUCCAACGUAUCUAUAAUUUUUUAUUGCUCCAUGCUAUAUUAUCUACUGUUUUGGACUAUAUUGGGCUUUAUUUUCCACUUUUAUAUUAUUUUCGGGACUAACCUAUUAACCGGAGGCCUAGCCCAGAAUUGUUGUUUUUUGCCUAUUUCAGUGUUUCAGAGAAACAGAAUAUCAAACGGAGUCCAAACGGAAUAAAAUCUUCGGGAACGUGAUUUUCUCACCGAACGUGAUCCAGGAGACUUGGACCCUACUCCAAGGAGUCAAAGAGGAGGUCACGAGGGUGCCCCCCCCCUAGGGCACACCCCCCUGCCUCGUGGGCCCCUCGGUGCUCCACCGACGUACUUCUUCCUCCUAUAUAUACCUACGUACCCCCAAAUGAUCAGAACAGGAGCCAAAAACCUAAUUUCGCCGCCGCAACUUUCUGUAUCCACGAGAUCCCAUCUUGGGGCCUAUUCCAGACCUCCGCCGGAAGAGGGCUGUCAUCACGGAGGGCUUUUACAUCAUCCUAGCCCCUCCGAUGAAGUGUGAGUAGUUUACCUCAGACCUUCGGGUCCAUAUUAGUAACUAGAUGGAUUCUUCUCUCUUUUUGGAUCUCAAUACAAAGUUCUCCCCCUCUCUUGUGGAGAUCUAUUCGAUGUAAUCUUCUUUUUGCGGUGUGUUUGUUGAGACCGAUGAAUUGUGGGUUUAUGAUCAAGUCUAUCUAUGAAUAAUAUUUGAAUCUUCUUUGAAUUCUUUUAUGUAUGAUUGGUUAUCUUUGCAAGUCUCUUCGAAUUAUCUGUUUGGUUUGGCCAACUAGAUUGGUAGUUCUUGCCAUGGGAGAAGUGCUUAGCUUUGGGUUCGAUCUUGCGGUGUCCUUACCCAGUGACAGAAGGGGCAGCAAGGCACGUAUUGUAUCGUUGCCAUUGAGGAUAACAAGAUGGGGUUUAUUUCAUAUUGCAUGAAUUUAUCUCUCUACAUCAUGUCAUCUUGCUUAAGGCGUUACUCUGUUUUUAACUUAAUACUCUAGAUGCAUGUUGGAUAGCGGUCGAUGAGUGGAGUAAUAGUAGUAGAUGCAGAAUCGUUUCGAUCUACUUGUCACGGACGUGAUGCCUAUAUACAUGAUCAUGCCUAGAUAUUCUCAUAACUAUGCUCAAUUCUGUCAAUUGCUCAACAGUAAUUUGUUCACCCACCAUAGAAUACUUAUGCUCUUGAGAGAAGCCACUAGUGAAACCUAUGGCCCCCGGGUCUAUUCUCAUCAUAUCAAUCUCCAUUACUUUAAUCUUGCUUUGCUUUUUUACUUUGCUUUUACUUUUUACUUUGCAUCUUUAUACCAAAAAUACGAAAAAUAUUAUAUCUAUCAGAUCUCACUCUCAUAAGUGACCGUGAAGGGAUUGACAACCCCUAAUCGCGUUGGUUGCGAGUAGCUAUCGUUUUGUGCAGGUACGGGGGACUUGAGCGUGGCCUCCUACUAGAUUGAUACCUUGGUUCUCAAAAACUGAGGGAAAUACUUACGCUACUCUGCUGCAUCAUCCCUUCCUCUUCGGGGAAAACCAACGCAAGCUCAAGACGUAGCAGUCCGCUAUAGCCCGGAUCACCGGAGUCCUGCUAGCCCAGCACUACUGCUCAGGACACUUGACUGGCCGGCAUGUGUUUCACUUUGUCCUAUGUCUGUCCCUUCGGGGAAAUGUCACGUGGUACAUCCGGAGUCCUUCCUAGCCUGCUACAGCCCGGGUUCCCCAGAGUCCUGUUAGCCCAGUGCUACAGCCCGGAUUCACACGCUGUUGACCGACAUGCUCGAUGUGAUUCAUGUAUGCCUCUCCCCAUAGGACUGUGCCGCUUUGGGUUCACGAGUAGCCAUGUCGGCCCAGGUUCUCUGUCAUAUGGAUGCUAGCGACACUAUCAUAUACGUGAGCCAAAAGGCGCAAACGGUCCCAGGCCAUGGUAAGGCGGCACUCGUGGGGAUACCGUGCGUGAGGCCGCAAAGUGAUAUGAGGUGUUACCAGCUAGAUCGAUGUGACUUGGAAUCGGGGUCCUGACAGCGUUGGCAUCAGAGCCGUACUGCCUGUAGGUUCAUUGAGCCAAACUGGUCGAUGUCGAGUCUAGAAAUGCUUUAGUUAUAUGUAGGGGAAUUGAUUGUGGAAGGGAAUGUAAGGCUCUUUUACUCCUUUACCUUAUGCCCUCUGAUCUGAGUCAUUCUCUUCUCAUUCUACGUGGGUUAAGGACUAGGCUCUCUUCUCUCUAUCAGGUUCACGUGUUACUAAUCCGUAGUAGCUUAUAGGAUUGUUGUUACAAGCCUCAGUACAGUUUCUACUACUUUUAGUAUGUUGUCAGUUGAACCAGAACCUUGAUAUGAUGUUGUUGAGUGGUUUUGCAAACUGUUGUGAAUGCCUCAAAUCUUUUCUGAGCAAUUACAGCCGUUAUGCUGUCCGAUUUCUCCUACAAGAUUCUAAUGCCUUUGCAUUAUUCUGUGCUUUCAGAUGGCCAACCGUUCCCAGAACCAAGUGGUUCGUCUGACCCGGUGCCUCGAUGUACCCGGUCACACGGCCAUGUUGGUUCGAGUCAUGGUCGAGACAGGCUAUCGAUGGUAUCUAGAAUAUGACCGUCGAGGAGCAUUUCCGAGACUUCAACCAGAGCCAGUACCUUUGUACCGUCAGGAUAUAUCCCUCUUAUCCUGGAGCCACUGAACCCCUCCACUGCUCUUAUGGGCUUGGGGUUACUAUUGAGAUGUCUGUGCAGGAUGCAGCUUACUCAAUGAUGACUAUCAUUCGAGCCAGGACUGCCUUGCUUCAGAACACCGAUUUCCGCUACAUGCUAGCCUCACUCCCUGGAGCACAGGGGUACUAUCAGGCUUUGUACUAUGACUCUGCACAUGAGGAGUCACUACUCCGCACCAUUGCCGAGAUGCUCGAGGAUAAGGACCAUGAAAAUCGGGCCUUGCGUAUGGAGCUUUUCAACUCUCGUGCUGAUCACUGGGCCACUUUGACUCGGUUUGCACCUGCUCUACAGGCAGGAUACAUGGACCUGAGGGACCUGUACCCUGUGCGGUCUGGAUUGCCAGAUUGUAUGGAGUGGUGUGAUGUAGGAGGCAUCACCCCUCCUCGUGGUCCCCGUCUACCACCGGUUGUGGGACCAAGGCCACAUCCGAGUCCCUAUGGUCCGCAGGACCGUCUGUUCCCAGAUGAUCAUGUUCCGCUUCCAAGCUUUGGUGGUGACUUUUAUGAGGAUUACUACGGAGCCGUCUGAGCUAGUAGUAGUUUCACUAGUACUGUAAUAGUUGUAUUCUCCAUAGUCCUGCGUGACCGUGGGAUAUGACUUGGUGUGUAUCACGCUCCGGAGGUGUAGAAAAAUAAUGUAUAGGAGCUUGGAAUGCCUCCGAUGAGAUGUAGUGUCUUUCACCGUAGUUGUACUCUAGCCUGGGCUUGUACUAAACUAUGUACGGUGUGUAUGACCAAUGGUAUAUAUGUGGUAGUUUCUAUAUUACCAUGUCGUGCAAUGAACAUCUCAGCAUUUCAUGUUAUCCAUUACACUCUGCACUUCCUUCCCAAGAUUGUGCCAUCCUUGUCUAAACCAUUGUCUUGUUUUUUUCCUAGGAUGGUCAACACCCGCAGCAACCCUGCUGCCCCGGAGCAAGGGGAAGCCAGUGCAGCUAGGGGUGAAAAUCUGCCUCACCCACCUUCUCUGGCCGAAGUUAUGCUGGAGGCAGAAAGAAACAAGCGUGAGACUAACUGCUUGCUGGAGCGGAUUGAGCAUAACACUGCAUGUCAUCAGCGAAAUGACUUGGUGUCAAUCAAUGACUUUAUCAAGUUCUACCCACCAAAGUCUAAUCAUUCCGUCGAGCCCCUCGAUGCGGAUGACUGGCUUCGCAGCAUUACCCACAAGCUAUGUUCUGCCAACGUAGCCGAAGCUGAUAAGGUUACCUAUGUUGCCUAUCACCUUGAAGGCCCUGCUAGCCUUUGGUGGGAAAACUUUGAGGCUAUGUGCCCGGUCGGCCAAAUCACUACUUGGGCUGAAUUCAGUGAGGCUUUCCGUGAGCAUCACAUCACGGAAGGUCUCAUAGAUCGUAAGAGGGAAGAGUUCUGCAAUUUCACCCAAGGCAGACUGGUUGUGGAUGCAUAUAGUCGUGAAUUUGGGAAUCUGGCACGUUAUGCUCCUGAAGAGGUAUCCACCGAUGCUAAGAAGCAGGCAAGGUUCCUCAAGGGACUUAGCCCCGAGCUUCGCCACGAUCUUCGUCUACACGGGUGCACCUCCUUCCAGAAGUUGGUCAAUAAAGCCAUCAGUGCUGAGACAAGCCAGACUGACUAUGACACUUCACGCAAGCACUCUCGUGAUUUUGGUUCCUCAUCCGGCUCUGGAUCUCAGAAGCGCCGGGUGUGGUUCCAAGCACCGUGCUGCCACCCGGGUUCAUUCCAAGGCCAUCCUUUGAGGCGCCUCACCCCAACCAGCAGUUUGCACCGCCUAAGACCUAUGGUGGCCCCGCUGCUAAUGCUGCUCCACGCCCCAAUGUUGUGACAUGUUUCAAGUGUGGAGAGCCAGGUCACUACAGUCGAGAGUGUCCCCAGAACAACAACCCCAACCAGUCUGGAAAGUCCGUUGGCCGUGGUAAGCCAGCAAGAAAGACAUUCUACGCCAAGCCAGCCACCAUUACACGUGGCCAUGUCAACUAUGUCUCAGCUGAGGAGGCUCAUGAUGAUUCUAACGUCGUCAUUGGUACGCUCCUUGUUAAUUGCCAUCCGGCAUCUGUUCUUUUCCAUACUGGAGCAUCUCAUUCAUUCAUAUCUGAGAGCUAUGCUCGAUUGCAUAACACGACAUUCUGUGACAUGCCCACUACCAUGGAAAUUCAAACCCCUGGCUCUAGAUGGAAAACCCCCAGAGUAAGUCAUGGGAAUGAAAUUCUUGUCGAUAGACUUGUCUUCCUCGCAUCCUUAAUAGCUCUCAAGUCCUCGGACAUAAACAUCAUCUUGGGUAUGGACUGGAUGUCAGCCCAUUAUGCUAAAAUUGAUUGAUCUACUAGAACUGUUCAACUUACUCACCCAUCGGGAAAGACAGUCAAUGUCUAAACUCGAGUGGCCAAGCGCCAACUUUACUCCCUAAAUGCCAACCCCCUUCCAGACCUUGUAGAUAUUCCGGUAGUCUGAGACUUCCCGGAUGUCUUUCCAGAAGAACUCCCAGGUGUUCCACCUGACAGGGAUGUCGAGUUUGUGAUAGACCUUGUUCCAAGAACCGUUCCAAUUUCUAGAAGACCCUAUAAGAUGGCACCCUUAGAACUAGCCGAACUUAAGAACCAACUCGAUGAGUCCUUGAAAAAGGGUUUCAUCCGUCCUAGUUCCUCUCCUUGGGCUUGCCCCAUCCUCUUCGUCAAGAAGAAGGAUGGAACGGAUCGGAUGGUUGUAGAUUACCGACCUGUCAACUUGGUCACUAUCAAGAACAAGUAUCCGCUUCCCAGGAUCAAUGAUCUGUAUGAUCAUCUUGCUGGAUCCUCAGUCUUUUCCAAGAUGGAAGUGAGGUUGGGCUACCAUCAAAUCAAAAUAAAAAACAGGGACAUUCCCAAAACGGCCUUUGUUACUCGUUAUGGCCAAUACGAGUACACCGUUAUGUCCUUCGGUUUAACCAAUGCCCCAGCCACCUUCUCUCGGUUAAUGAACUCGGUCUUCAUGGAGUAUUUGGAUAAAUUCGUCGUAGUAUACCUCGAUGAUAUACUCAUCUACUCCAAGAGUAAGGAGGAACAUGCCGAACAUCUAAGGCUGGUAUUAACGAAACUUCGAGAGCAUCGCCUUUAUGCCAAAUUCUCCAAGUGUGAAUUUUGGUUGCCAGAAGUGACCUAUCUAGGCCAUGUAAUCUCUGGUAAGGGUAUUGCUAUCAAUCCCGAGCGAGUUCAAGCUGUCCUUGAUUGGACUCCACCUGAGACGGUCAAGCAAGUUCGGAGCUUCCUUGGCUUAGCGAGUUAUUGUCGCCGCUUCGUCGAGAAUUUCUCCAAGGUUGCUAAACCUCUAACUGAACUCCUCAAGAAAGAUAAAAAGUUCGAGUGGACCCCACAGUGCGAGUUCAGCUUUCAGGAACUGAAAAGAUGCCUGACAUCUGCUCCCGUACUGGUACCACUAGAUUUCUCCAAGGACUUUAUAAUCUAUUGCGACGCCUCGCGACAAGGACUAGGUUGCAUACUCAUGCAAGAUCGUCAGGUAAUUGCCUAUGCUGCACGGCAAUUACACCCACAUGAGGAAAAGUAUCCCACACAUGAUCUAGAGCUUGCAGUUGUAGUCCAUGCACUUAAAACAUGGCGACAUUACCUUCUCGGUAAUCGUUGCGAGAUCUUCACCAAUCACCAAAGUUUGAAAUAUACCUUCACCCAACCGGAUUUGAAUCUCAGGCAAAGACGCUGGGUCGAGUUGAUCUCGGAUUACGACUUAGGAAUAACUUACACCCCAGGCAAAGCCAAUGUCAUGGCUGAUGCGCUAAAUCGUAAAUUUUAUUGUAACAACUUGAUGUUACAACAACGUCAACCACUUCUCCAUGAGGAAUUUCGUAAGCUUAACCUUCAAAUUGUUCCUCAAGGAUUCCUAUCUACCUUGGUGGUGAAACAGACCCUUAUGGAUCAGAUCAUAAGCGCUCAGCGGUAUGACAAGGGAAUAUCUCGGAUCAAGCAGAACAUCGCUAGCGGAGUUGCUAAAUGUUUUUCCAUGGAUGAACGAGGUGUUGCCUUCUUUGAGAACCGCUUGGUGGUUCCCAAGAAACCAGAUCUACGACAACUGAUCCUUAAGGAAGCUCAUGAAGCCCCUCUCGCCAUUCAUCCCGGUAGUACUAAAAUGUAUCUAGAUCUACGCCAGAGGUUUUGGUGGACUAGGAUGAAGAGAGAAAUUGCUCAAUACAUUGCUAAUUGCGAUGUUUGUCGUCGUGUUAAAGCAGAGCAUCAAUGGCCUGCUGGCACCCUUCAACCUUUGGCUAUUCCCGAAUGGAAAUGGGAUAAAAUUAGUAUGGAUUUCAUUACUGGGUUUCCCGGGACCCAGAGAGGGAAUAAUGCUAUAUUCGUCGUGAUCGAUCGUCUUUCCAAAGUAGCCCAUUUCCUACCUGUUCAUGAGAGUAUCACCGCUAGCCAGCUAGCUGGCCUAUACAUCUCCCGAAUAGUGUCUCUUCAUGGUGUCCCAUUGGAAAUUAACUCAGACCGUGGGAGUCUCUUCACCUCUCGAUUUUGGAAAAUCUUCCAAAAUGCUAUGGGAACUCGUCUCUCUUUUAGUACCGCCUUCCACCCCCAAUCAAGUGGUCAAGUAGAGAGAGUCAAUCAAAUUCUGGAGGAUAUGCUCCGAUCUUCUGUCAUCUCAUUCGGAAUGGAUUGGGAGAAAUGCCUUCCAUUCGCAGAGUUCGCUUAUAACAAUAGUCAUCAAGCUAGCUUGGGCAAAGCUCCUUUCGAAGUUCUCUAUGGACGAAAAUGUCGAACGCCUCUUAACUGGUCAGAAACCGGGGAAAGACAACUCUUUGGCCCGGAUAUGAUUCAGGAAGCAGAAGAGCAGGUUCGCGUUAUUCGUGAGAAAAAAAACAGCCCAAUCUCGUCAAAAGAGCCAAUAUGAUCGUAAACAUAAGCUCAUGACCUAUGAAGUCGGCGAGAAGGCUUACCUUCGGGUUACUCCGUUAAAGGGAACCCAUCAUUUCGGUAUCAAAGGCAAAUUGGCUCCGCGUUACAUUGGACCCUUUCGCAUUCUUGCCAAACGAGGAGAAGUUGCCUACCAAUUGGAACUACCUCCGCAUCUUUCCAGAGUUCACGAUGUCUUCCACGUUUCUCAACUCAGGCGUUGCUUCGCGGAUCCUAUCCGUGGAGUGGACCACGAAACGCUUGAUCUACAAGAUGAUCUCUCAUAUCGGGAAUAUCCCGUUUGUAUCCUUGAUCAAGAUGAGCGUACCACUCGACGCCAUAACAUCAAGUUUCUUAAGGUUCAAUGGUGACACCACUCUGAAAAAGAAUCCACUUGGGAAAGGGAGGAUCGUCUUCGACUCGAGUACUCCACCUUCUUCCCAACGGAUCCUAAAUCUCAGGACGAGAUUUUUCGAGUGGGGGUGAGUUGUCACACCCUAGCUAGUUCAUGCAUUGGGGUGUUGCAUCAUGUUUAAUUUCCCAGAAAACUGAAAUGGGGAUGACAGAACCCCCAGCACCCCCCCCUCCCUUGAACAACUAGGGUUUACUAAAAACUUUUUCAAUAAACCUGAAAUGCCCUUCUAAAAAGUCCACCCUUUUUGUUUUGGGUUAAAACCUUUGACAAAAAUGGUGCACACUUUUCUAGGACAUCUUAAGGUCAUUGGAUUAAUUCAUUACUAAUUGCAUUUGGGCAAUUCAAAUCCUAUAAAUAUUUUAAAAUGCCCAAAUAAUCCUAAAAGUAUUUUUAGGCUCUUGAGAAUAUUUUCAAAUGUGCCUUUUAAUAUUUUCAGGUUUUUCCUAAAUGAAAUAGUAUUUUUACUAUUUCAAAACACAAAACAGAAUAAAUAAAAAACAGAAAAAGAGAGAGAAAGGAAACUUACCAGCCGGCCCACCUGGCGGCCCAGCACUGUGCUGGCCCAUGGCCAGUCGGCUGCUUCCUCUCGCCAGGUAGGCAGGCAGAGAGGUGAGAGCCGGCGCGCCUGAGCUCGCCACGGCGCCACCUGCUUGCCGCCCGCGCCCUGGAUGUCUGUACGACCUCCACGUCGUCGCCCCAACCCCCUGGACCCCUCCAUUCGCCCCCAAUGCCUCUCCCUUGCCCUCUCCCACCAUGGUCGACGCCCCUGCCGCCGCACCGUCGCCGUAGCCGCGCCCUCUGUCGUCCUCGCGCCGCGCCAUCAUGUCCACAAGCUCCGCCGUCGUCGACCACGUCGAGCAGGCCGAGCCCCGAGCGCUCGCCCGCUCUGGAGUCACCCCGACCCCAUCUUCCCCAACUCCGGCCGCCGGAGAUCCCCUUCGCCUUCACCGCAGCACCAGCUCAUCCCCGACCUCUCCGUCUUCCUCGUUGUGAUCGCCGUGAGCCCAACUACCUCCUCCCCCUCUCCAUUAACUUCCUCCUGCACUGUGUGCACUGCACCACGCACACCCAAGCACCCGCCGCCGCCGAUCUCGUCACCGACGUGACUCCGGCCACCCACCGGCCACACCCUUGUGACCAAUGCACUCACCGCACUCGCAGGAGCCCGUAGCACCACUCCACGCGCCUCGCCGUGCCCCAUAGCCUCGGUUUCGACCUCGCCCGAACUCUGGCGACCGCCAAGGUUGUCGCCGACGAUGUUUCCGGCCACCCCAGCUCCACCCACUGCCACCACUCGAUGCGGCUUGCUCCCAGCUACGCGUAGAUGCUCUCCGCUGUCAUUUUGGUCGCUGGAGCACGAAACCUGCAUCACUCCGCCGCGUCUGGCCUCGCCGGCGGCUAAACGCCGGCGAGUUUGACCCUGUUUGACACCGUGUGGGCCCAGGUUGACUUCCCCUGAGUCUAUGGCACGUGGGACUGCCCUGCUAAUUAACUUAGAUUAUCACUAAUCAAACUUAGUUAGUUAAUUUACCACUGACAGACGGGGCCCACCGGUCAGGUUUGACCUGGGCUGGCGCCUUUGACCUGCUGACGUCACCCUGACGCAAUGCUGACGCAAUAACUAAAUUACUGGAAUUAUUCUUAUAUAGGAAAUUCCAGAAAAUAUUACAAACUUCAAAAAUUCAUAACUUUUAAUCUGUAACUCCAAAUGCAAAGAUUUAUAUAUGAAAUUUGAUCAGAAAAAUUCAAUCUUUCCAUCUAUAAUGGUUUUAUGCAUAACAAAACAUUUUAACCUUGCUGAUUAGGUGAAACAAGCUACUACACUUAUAAUGCUUAAGAACAUAAGCUUCCAUUUGAAUCUUUGAUUCAAAUGGACCCAAACCAACUUGUUUCACAUUGCAUUAGGCAGGACACCUCAUAUUGCCAUGUCAUAGCAUGCAUCAUAUUGUUGCAUAUUGCCAUGUGAUGAUUGUGUUAUGUGGUGUCUUUCGUGGUUGGUUCUGCCUCCGAGGAUAUCUCCGAGUAUCCAACUGAAGGGCAGUACCCUACUACUACUCCAUCAGGCAAUCAGCACCAUUGAUCAUAUCGAUACAAUCCAUGUUCUCGCUUCUGCUCUCAUUUACUACAUUAAGACAACAACAUUUCAAACUGCUGUGUGCUGCGGUAGUUGAACCUCUAUCCUCUGCAUGACCUGUCAUUGCCACAGUAACUAGAUGAAACCCACUAGCAUGUGUAGGAGUUGAUUGAGCCAUGUAUGUGUUUCCUACCUUGCUAUGCCUGCUAUGCUUAGAGUUGUGUCAGGUAUGGUUCAUCUGGGUGAUGGGCUAGAGUGAAAUGAUUACGUCGGUAAUGUGAGGGAUGUGUUGAACAUGAUUUGGUAAAGGUAUCGAUGAGAUGCCAUGUACGAGUACAUGGUGGGUUGUUUCAUUGAGGUUGUCCCUAAGAACUGAGAUCUGUAUGUGUGAUUUAAGAAUCAGUUACUACCAUGCAUUGGGAUCCUUAAUUGACCCUCUCGGCUUCUUAACCACUCUAGUACUCUGUCCAGGAGUUGCAACUAGUUUCUGGUGUUUGUAGAUUAUGUGUUGGUGGCCGUGCGUAGUGCUGACCCUAGGGGUGGGCUAUGUUGCGGUAGAUACACUGUGGCCGAGUAUGUCGGGCGCCCGUUUGGCGUCUCGGGACCCUGUACACAUCGUUCGGGGCCGUAUGUGGAAACCUCGGCCGGACUCCCUGCGGAUGGAACCUGGAUAGGCGAUAAACCUGGACUAGAGACUUGUGUGUUUAGGUAGGCCGUGGCCGACACCCUCGUUGGGCUUCCGCUUGAAGGUUGUCGAGUACAUGUUGUGUAACGACGAUAAGUGGUGAGAGUGUGUAUGAAGAAGUACACCCCUGCAGGGUUAACAUCAUCUAUUCGAAUAGCCGCGUCCGCGGUAAAGUACUACUUGGUUGCCUAUACAGUUCAUAGACAAGUUAAUGUUUACUACUAAAAGACUCAAGAUAAGUGUGAGUACCGAGGAUGGCCCUCUCGUAGGAUGACGAGGGAGGAUACCCAGUGGAGUAUUGUGUUGGUGAUUAGUGGACUCGUGUGCGAAAACUAUUUUAUAGUGGUGUCUCGUAGGAUAGCUUAGCCAAGAGUCAGAGCUGGCUUGCUGCAAUAACUCCACCACCUUCUUGAGAAUGAGCAUGUAUAGUAGUAUCUGUUGUAAGACUUGCUGAGUACCUUUGUACUCAUGUUGCUUUAAUUACUGUUUUCAGACGACAAUACCGCCCCCUCCGAUGGGUUUUAUGUAGACCUCGACGUCGAUGAGUAAUUUGCCACCUAGGUGGUGAUUCUGGCCAUGGAGGGGCCUAUGUAGAUAGACAGGCUUCGACAAGCCUUCUUUCUUUCUAGUGUCUGUACUCAGACUUAUUUGCUUUCGCAUGUGCUUGUAUGCUUGUAUGACUUGAGUGUCGGGUCUUGUGACCCCUACCUGUAUGAACAUGUUAUGUAUGGCGCUCCGGAGCCUUUAAAUAAAGUACUUGAGUUGUAGAGUUUUGUUGUGAUGCCAUGUUGUAUUUACACAUAUCGAGCAUAUUGUGUGUAUGAUUGAAAUGCUUGGUAUGUGUGGGAUCCGACAAUCUAGUUGUUUAUCCUUGGCAGCCUCUCUUAUGGGGAAAUGUAGUCUAGUGCUCCUUGAGCCAUAGUAGUCCGCUACAGCCCGGUUCAUCGGAGUCCUGCUAGCCCGGCACUACUGCUCAAGACACUUGACUGGCCGGCAUGUGUUUCACUUCGUUCCUAUGUCUGUCCCUUCGGGGAAAUGUCACGCGGUGACAUCCGGAGUCCUGCCUAACCUGCUACAGCCCGGGUUCCCCGGAGUCCUGUUAGCCCAGUGCUACAGCCUGAAUUCACACGCUGUUGACCGACAUGCUCGAUGUGAUUCAUCUAUGCCUGUCCCCAUAGGUCUGUGCCGCUUUGGGUUCACGACUAGCCAUGUCGGCCCGGGUUCUCUGUCAUAUGAACGUUAAGCGUGCGGACCCUACGGGUUAGAGAACUAUGUAGACAUGACCAACACACCUCUCUGGUCAAUAAUUAAUAGCGGGACCUGGAUGCCCAUAUUGGCUCCUACAUAUUCUACGAAGAUCUUUAUCGGUCAGACCGCAUAACAACAUACAUUGUUCCCUUUGUCAUUGGUAUGUUACUUGCCCUCGAUUCGGUCGUCGAUAUCUCAAAACCUAGUUCAAUCUCGUUACCAGCAAGUCUCUUUACUCGUUCUGUAAUACAUCAUCCCGCAACUAACUCAUUAGUUGCAAUGCUUGCAAGGCUUAUAGUGAUGUGCAUUAUGAUAUGUCUCCGUCGUAUCUACUUUUCCAAACACUUUUGCCCUUGUUUUGGACUCUAACUUGUAUGAUUUGAAUGGAACUAACCCGGACUGGCGCUGUUUUCAGCAGAAUUACCAUGGUGUUGUUUUAUGUGCAGAAAACAAAUAUUCUUGGAAUGACCUGAAACUCCACGGAACAUCUUAGAAAAAACAAUAAAAAAUCCUUGCCAAAGAUGAAGACCAGGGGGCCCACACCCUUCUCACGAGGGUGGGGGGCGCCCCCCCCCUAAGGCGUGCCCCCCAACCUCGUGGGCCUCCUGUUGCGUCUCCAACUCCAACUCCACCUCCAUAUCUUGAGUUUCAAUGAGAAAAAAAUCAGAGAGAAGAAAUCAUCGCGUUUUACGAUACGGAGCCGCCGCCAAGCCCUAAAACCUCUCGGGAGGGCUGAUCUGCAGUCCGUUCGGGGCUCUGGAGAGGGGGAUUCGUCGUCGUCGUCAUCAUCAACCAUCCUCCAUCACCAAUUUCAUGAUGCUCACCGCCGUGCGUGAGUAAUUCCAUCGUAGGCUUGCUGGACGGUGAUGGGUUGGAUGAGAUUUAUCAUGUAAUCGAGUUAGUUUUGUUAGGGUUUGAUCCCUAGUAUCCAUUAUGUUCUGAGAUUGAUGUUGCUAUGACUUUGCUAUGCUUAAUGCUUGUCACUAGGGCCCGAGUGCCAUGAUUUCAGAUCUGAACCUAUUAUGUUUUCAUGAAUAUAUGUGAGUUCUUGAUCCUAUCUUGCAAGUCUAUAGUCACCUACUAUGUCUUAUGAUCCGGCAACCCUGAAGUGACAAUAAUCGGGACCACUCCCGGUGAUGAACAUAGUUUGAGGAGUUCAUGUAUUCACUAUGUGCUAAUGCUUUGUUCCGGUUCUCUAUUAAAAGGAGGCCUUAAUAUCCCUUAGUUACCAAUAGGACCCCGCUGCCACGGGAGGGUAGGACAAAAGAUGUCAUGCAAGUUCUUUUCCAUAAGCACGUAUGACUAUAUACGGAAUACAUGCCUACAUUAUAUUGAUGAAUUGGAGCUAGUUCUGUGUCACCCUAUGUUAUGACUGUUACAUGAUGAACCGCAUCCGGCAUAAUUAUCCAUCACUGAUCCGGUGCCUACGAGUUUUCCAUAUACUGGUUUUCGCUUAUUUACUUUCCUGCUGCUACUGUUACAAACACUACAAAAUACCAAAAACAUUACUUUUGUUGUCUUUACUUUUGUUGCCGCUACCACCACUAUCAUAUUACUUUGCUACUAAACACUUUGCUGCACAUAUUAAGUUUCCAGCUGUGGUUGAAUUGACAACUCAGCUGCUAAUACUUGAGAAUAUUCUUUGGCUCCCCUUGUGUCGAAUCAAUAAAUUUGGGUUGAAUACUCUACCCUCGAAAGCUGUUGCGAUCCCCUAUACUUGUGGGUUAUCAAGACUAAUUUCUGGCGUCGUUGCCGAGGAGCAUAGCUCUAUUCUUUGAGUCACUUGGGAUUUAUAUCUGCUGGACACUAUGAAGAACUUAAGAGAUCCAAAAACCAAGAUCUAUCCCUCAACUACAAGGGGAGGUAAGGAACUGCCAUCUAGCUCUGCACUUGAUUCACCUUCUGUUAUGAGUAAGUUUGCAACACCUGCAUCUACUUCUGCUAUUCGUUCUGAUAUGUCGCAUGUUAUUGAUGAUGCCACUUCUGCUAUGCAUGAUACUUAUGAUGAAGCUGCUUCUAUGCCUGGUACUACUGUACCCCUUAGUGAAUUUCUUGAUGAACAAAUUGCUAGGGCUAGAGAAAAAGAAAUUAUUGAAUCUGAAUACGAUGAUGAUAGUGAUGAUGAAAAUAUGCCUGUUAUUCCUAAGGGUUAUCUUUUUGAUAUGGAAUCUUCUGCCGCUAUUUCUGCUUCCAAAGAUAGAUAUGAGCUUAAGAGGUUAUUUAUUAAAUGGAACAAAGAAUCACUUAGAGAUAAAAAUGAGACCUGACCCUGCUUUUGCUACUUCACCUAUAUGUGUUCCUGAUAAGGAUUAUGAAUUCUCUGUUGAUCCUGAUAUAAUUACUUUGGUUGAAUCUGAUCCAUUUUAUGGCUAUGAAUCUGAAACUGUUGUGGCACAUCUUACUAAGUUAAAUGAUAUAGCUGCCCUGUUUACUAAUGAUGAGAGAUCACGUUACUUUUAUAUACUCAAAAUAUUUCCGUUCUCAUUAAAGGGUGAUGCUAAGACAUGGUUUAAUUCUCUUGAUCCUGGUUGUGUGUGUAGUCCCCAGGAUAUGAUUUAUUACUUCUCUGCUAAAUAUUUCCCUGCUCAUAAGAAACAAGCUGCUUUGAGGGAAAUAUACAACUUUGUGCAAAUUAAAGAAGAGAGUCUCCCACAAGCUUGGGGGAGGCUUCUCAAGUUACUUAAUGCUUUGCUUGAUCAUCCUCUUAAGAAACCUGAAAUACUUGAUAUCUUUUAUAAUGGACUAACCGAUGCUUCCAGAGAUUACCUGUAUAGUUGUGCCGGUUCUCUUUUCAGGGAAAGAACACCAGAUGAAGAUGAAAUUCUAUUGAAUAAUAUGUUGACAAAUGAAAAUAAUUGGGCACCUCCCGAGCCAGCUCCUUAGCCAACUCCUGCUCCAAUUACUGAGCCUAUUCCUAAACCAACUCCGAAGAAGAGAGGUGUUCUAUUUCUCAGUCCCGAAGAUAUGCAAGAGGCAAAGAAAUCUAUGAAAGAAAAAGGUAUUGAAGCUGAAGACGUUAAGAAUUUACCUCCUAUUGAAGAAAUACAUGGUCUUAAUAUACCACCUAUUGAAGAAACAUAUGAUCUUGAUUAUUUAUUUAUUGAAGAACCUCCUGAUCCCGAUAUCCCGACACAGGUAGUAAAGGUAAAUUCUCUCUAUAGAUAUGAUAAAGCUGAAGUCCCUCCUACUAAAAUUGCUAGUCAAUGCUUGGAUGAGUUUGAUAACUUUAUGUACAAGUAAGAUGACUUCAAUGCUUAUUUUGGUAGACAAUUAAAAGAAAAUGCUUAUAUGAUUAGACGCUUGGGUGAUUAUAUGGCUGAUAUUAAAGGUGAACUUAAACUUGUUAGCAAACAUGCUUCUAUGGUUACCACUCAAGUAGAACAAGUACUUAAGGCUCAAAAAGAAGUGCUUAAUGAAAUGAAUAGUAAGAAAAAUGAUUAUGCUGUUAAAGAGGCUACUAGAACUAGUAGAAUGACUCAGGAACCUUUGUAUCCUAAAGGCCACCCUAAGAGAAUUGAGCAAGAUUCUCAAAGAAAUAAUAUUGAUGUUCCUAGUUCUUCUAAAAAGAAGAAGAAGAGAAAUGAUAGAACUGUGCAAACUUCUAGUGAACCUAUUGCUGAACCACCUGAUAAUCCAAAUGAUAUUUGUAUGUCUGAUGCUGAAACACAAUCUGGUAAUGAACAUGAACCUAGUAAAAAUAUUAAUGAUGAUGUUCAUGAUGAUGCUCAACCUAGUAAUGAUAAUGAUGUAGAAAUUGAACCUGCUGUUGAUCUUGAUAACCCACAAUCAAAGAAUCAACGUUAUGAUAAAAGAGACUUUGUUGCUAGGAAACAUGGUAAAGAAAGGGAACCUUGGGUUUAGAAACCCAUGCCUUUUCCUUCGAAACCAUCCAAGAAAAAGGAUGAUGAGGAUUUUGAGCACUUUGCUGAAAUGAUUAGGCCUAUCUUUUUGCGUAUGAGAUUAACUGAUGUGCUCAAAACAAAUCCUUAUGCUAAAUAUAUGAAGGAUAUCAUUACUAAUAAAAGAAAGAUACCGGAAGCUGAAAUUUCCACCAUGCUUGCUAAUUACACUUUUAAGGGUGGAAUACCAAAGAAACUUGGAGAUCCCAGAGUACCUACUAUACCUUGCUCCAUUAAAAGAAUUAUAUUAAAACUGCUUUAUGUGAUCUUGGAGCCGCUGUUAGUGUUAUGCCUCUCUUUAUAUCAUAGACUUGACUUGAAUAAGUUGACACCUACUGAAAUAUCUUUGCAAAUGGCUGAUAAAUCAACUGCUAUACCUGUCGGUAUUUGUGAGGAUGUGCCUGUUGUGGUUGCGAACAUUACUAUUUUAACGGACUUUGUUAUACUUGAUAUUCCCGAGGAUGAUAGUAUGUCUAUUAUUCUUGGAAGACCUUUUCUUAGUACUGCAGGGGCUGUUAUUGAUUGCAACAAAGGCAAUGUCACUUUUCAUGUUAAUGGUAAUGAGCAUACGGUACACUUUCCGAGGAAACAACCUCAAGUUCAUAGUAUCAAUUCUAUUGGAAAAAUUCCAUCAAUUAUAUUUGGAGGUUUUGAAUUUCCUCUUCCUACUGUCAAGAAGAAAUAUGAUAUUCUUAUUAUUGGGGAUGUGCAUAUCCCCGUUGAGGUAACUUAGUGUUAUUCGAAAUUUCUCCGGUUUCAUGAUUAUCGGAAUGAGUUUGUUAACAAGACUUGAUCAACCUUGUUAGUGGAUUCUUUUUGAUGAGCAUGAGAUGGAUGAAACUAGAAGCACAAAAUCUUCUGUACUCUCUCUAUAUUUUCUGUUAAUUAGUAGAAAUAAAGUAAGAAUAGUAUUUUUCUGUCUGUUUCCUGACUUAUCCGUGCAAUAUAAAAAUAUCCCAAAAUGCCAAUUUAAUAUGAUUUUUUCAGAAAUAUUUGAGGAUUUACUGUGCAAAAAUUACCGCGGGAGGAGCUGCCACCUGGCCACGAGGGUGGUCGGCCCCCCCUAUAGGGCGCGCCCCCUGUCUCUUGGGCCCACGGUGGCCCUCCUCCACUUAUCCCAGCACCCAUCUUCUUCCUCUAUCUCACACAAACCCGAAAAACCAACUCAGGCAUGAGUUCCAGCCACUUUUGCUGCAAUUUUCGAUCUCCUUGCUCAAAGCACCUCUCGCAAAACUGCUUGGUGAAAUUGUUCCUUGGUAUGUGACUCCUCCAUUGGUCCAAUUAGUUUUUGUUCUAGUGCUUUAUUCUUUGCAAAUUGGUGCUGCAUAGGUGACCAUGUUCUUGAGCUUGCAUGUCAAAUUUAUAUGGUUCCAAGUAGUUCUAAUGCUUGAUAUAGGCUCUAGGUACUUGUAGGAGUAGUUGCCAUCAGUUUUAUUGAAGUUGGUUCACUUUUAUUUUGAAGUUACUAAAAAUUUCAGAAUUUUUUAGAAAAUUAUGAGGAGAUUAUUGAGGGGCUCAUCGAGCCAAAGCUCGAAGGAAAAGGCACCAAAGACUAAGUAUAAUUUGCCGCGCAUUGCGGAGAUUCGGGCGUGUGAAUGGCCUUCUGAUGAUUUCUUGAGAGCAGCCGGUAUCUAUGAAGAUUUUCAUGAAUUGGCUCAUAAUGCAGGCCUCACCGCUUUCCUCCACGACCAAUGCGAUCAGUAUCUCUUACUCACAAAUACCUUUGUGCAAAACUUUCAUUUUCAUUCUAGGAACUCACCACCUACGGUGGAGUUUCAUUUAUAUGAUGAGCAUAAGGAGAUGUCACUUUAUGAUUUUUGUUGGAUUUGUUUAGUCCCUUUUGAGGGCAAGACAGAAGAACCACAUCAUGAUGAUGUGGCUGGGUUUAUUGAUAAUAACAAUGUAGGAGAAACUAGGAAGGUUUCCGACGCACGAAUCACUAGCAUACAUUUCCCUGUUUUGCGUUACUUUGCAUUAUUUGCUAGUCGUUGUUUAAUUGGACGCGGAAAUUCUGGAAACCUUAGUAUCCCUGAUUUAAUUAUUCUGCUCCAAGGUUUAUACAGUGAUAACACUUUUAGUUUGGGCGGUAUUAUUGCUAGACGGUUAAAUAUGAACUGUACUAAGGGCCCCAUCUUUGGGGGCAUCUAUGCCACACGCCUAGCCGCACAUUUUAACAUACCUAUUAGGCAUGCUGAGAAGGAAGAAAAGGUGCUGCCCCGUGUUUAUCUAGAUCAUAAAAGUAUGGUGGCACAUGAUUUUAUUGUUAAAAAUAGGGCAGGUGAGCUUAAAUAUCAAUUGUUCUUUAAUAAACAUCAUCCUGAUACUAUUACCUUGCAUGCUCCUUCUUUGUUUGAUUUGACUGCAGGCAUGUACCUUGUUCCGUUGAUGGCUAUUCACGGCUACCGGAACCCUGUACCAGCCCCGAAACAUGAGCCACAAGAUGAGCCUCCACGACAAUCUGUUUAUUCUUGGGAUCCAGAGAUGACUCUCAGCCAGUGGCAGUCAGAGUCUUCUUCUUCAUCACAGUAUGAUCCCAACUAUUCCUCCUCAUCACAGUACGACCCCAACAACUAUUAUUAUGGAUAUCCGCCAGACCAGUCGUGGCCAUAGACCAACUUAGUCCAAAAGCCUAAGCUUGGGGGAGUACGUAUUUCUCAUCGACAUUACAUUUAUGUUAACACACACUCAUUGCUAGAUGUCGGUGCUCAUACUUUUUCACUGUAAUAUCCAUGCUAGUUUAUUUUCUUUUUCCUGCUUUCUUCUUGUGUGUUUGUUAAACCUUAAGAAAAACCAAAAAAAUAGUAGUAGUUUAUUUUUCUGCUGUAGUAGUAAUAAAUUAAAAGAAAACCCAAAAAUAUUUCCCGUUCUUCUUUUGCUUGUUGGGAGCUUUCCCGUGUAAAUAGUUUUAUUUCUUUUCUUUUCUUUGGGGGUCAGUAGGAGAAGACCAUAAUUAAAUUGUUGAAGUGGCUCUUAUAUGCAUCAUUGUUGAUUUAACCAAGAGCCCAUGUUGCCUUGUCUUCACCUGUUUACUGUAUGCUCGCAGAUUCCAGCUUAGUCCAAUGCGCGUACACUCUUAUUAUUAUUCACACCGUUCGGUCAUGCAAGUGAAAGGCAAUUAUGAUGAUAUAUGAUGGACUGACUGAGAUGAGAAAAGCUGGUAUGAACUUGACCUCUUUUGUCUUUGUAAAUAUGAUGAGCCCGUCGUUCUUGAUUCAGCUUAUAAUGAAUAAACAUGUUUGCAAUGACAAUUAGAGAUUAUAGUUACUUGUGCCAUGCUUGAUUAGCUAUGAGUUAUAAUGAUUUACCUUGUAUGCCAACAUGCUAUUGAGAUGAUUAUGAUGUGGUAUGAUGGGGUGGUAUCCUCUUUUGAAUGAUUUAAGUGACUUGACUUGGCACAUGUUCACGCAUGUAGUUGAAACAAAAUCAACAUAGCCUUCACGAUAUUUAUGUUCAUGGUGGAUUAUAUCCUACUCAUGCUUGCAUCCAAUGUUUAUUAAUUUUAAUGCAUGUACAUGGCUGUUGCCGCUCUCUAGUUGGUCGCUUCCCAGUCUUUUGCUAGCCUUCACUUGUACUAAGCGGGAAUACUGCUUGUGCAUCCAAUCCCUUAAACCCCAAAGUUAUUUCAGAUGAGUCCACCAUACCUUCCUAUAUGCGCUAUCUACCUGUCGUUCCAAGUAAAUUUGUAUGUGCCAAACUCUAAACCUUCAAAUAAACAUUCUGUUUUGUAUGCUCGAAUAGCCCAUGUAUCAACAAAGGUUGUCCUUAUCUUCCGUGUUAGGCGGGUUAUUGUCAAGAGGAGUAGACUCCGCUCCUCACUCACGAGAAAAUGGCUGGUCACCGGGAUGCCCAGUCCCAUGCUUUAUGCAAACUAAAUCAAAAUUAAUUGCAAACAAAACUCCCCCUGGGACCUGAUGUAUGUACGAGGCACUCAUUGUUUCGAGCAAGCCAUGGAUUGAUGCUUGUUGGUGGAGGGGGAGUAUAAACUUUACCAUUCUAUUUGGGAACCGCUUAUAAUGUGUUUAGCAUGGAAGAUAUGGACAUCUCUUAGUUUUUACGUUGACAAUGAAAGUAUACCGCUCAAAAUACAAUUUAUCUCUAUUUCAAAACUGAGCUCUGGCACCUCUACAAAUCCCUGCUUCCCUCUGCGAAGGGCCUAUCCAUUUACUUUUAUGUUGAGUCAUCACCCUCUUAUUAAAAAGCACUAGCUGGAGAGCACAGCCAUCAUUUGCAUUCAUCACUGUUAAUUUAUAUUGGGUAUGACUAUGAUUGGAUCUCUUUUACCACGAAUUACAAUGUCUAGUCAGUUCUUGAUCUUUAAAGGUGUGCUGCAUUUAUGUUUUGCGGUCUCGGAAAGGGCUAGCGAGAUACCAUCUUGUUAUAUCAUAUUAUGAUUGUUUUGAGAAAGUGUUGUCAUCCGAGAUUUAUUAUUAUGACUUGCUAGUUGAUUAUGCUAUUGAUAUGAGUAAUUGUGAGACCUGAGAAUUAUUGCAAAUGUGGUUAGUUAUGAUCUAUACUGAAAACUUGAAUGCUGGCUUGACAUAGUUACAACAACAAGAGCAAACAGAGUUUGUAAAAGUUUUUCUUUCUUUCUUUCAGUUUGUCAACUGAAUUGCUUGAGGACAAGAAAGGGUUUAAACUUGGGGGAGUUGAUACGUCUCUAUCGUAUCUACUUUUCCAAACACUUUUGCCCUUGUUUUGGACUCUAACUUGUAUGAUUUGAAUGGAACUAACCCGGACUGACACUGUUUUCAGUAGAAUUACCAUGGUGUUGUUUUAUGUGCAGAAAACAAAUAUUCUCGGAAUGACCUGAAACUCCACGGAACAUCUUAGAAAAAACAAUAGAAAAUCCUCGCCAAAGAUGAAGACCAUGGGGCCCACACCCUUCUCACGAGGGUGGGGGCGCCCCCCCCCCCCCUAGGGCGCGCCCCCUACCUCGUGGGCCCCCUGUUGCGUCUCCGACUCCAACUCCACCUCCAUAUAUUGAGUUUCGAUGAGAAAAAAAUCAGAGAGAAGAAAUCAUCGUGUUUUACCAUACGGAGCCGCCGCCAAGCCCUAAAACCUCUCAGGAGGGAUGAUCUGGAGUCCGUUCGGGGCUCCGGAGAGGGGGAUUCGUCGCUGUCAUCAUCAUCAACCAUCCUCCAUCACCAAUUUCAUGAUGCUCACCACCGUGCGUGAGUAAUUCCAUCAUAGGCUUGCUGGACGGUGAUGGGUUGGAUGAGAUUUAUCAUGUAAUCGAGUUAGUUUUGUUAGGGUUUGAUUCCUAGUAUCCAUUAUGUUCUGAGAUUGAUGUUGCUAUGACUUUGCUAUGCUUAAUGCUUGUCACUAGGGCCCGAGUGCCAUGAUUUCAGAUCUGAACCUAUUAUGUUUUCAUGAAUAUAUGUGAGUUCUUAUCCUAUCUUGCAAGUCUAUAGUCACCUACUAUGUGUUAUGAUCCGGCAACCCCAAAGUGACAAUAAUCGGGACCACUCCCGGUGAUGACCAUAGUUUGAGGAGUUCAUGUAUUCACUAUGUGCUAAUGCUUUGUUCCGGUUCUCUAUUAAAAGGAGGCCUUAAUAUCCCUUAGUUUCCAAUAGGACCCCGCUGCCACGGGAGGGUAGGACAAAAGAUGUCAUGCAAGUUCUUUUCCAUAAGCACGUAUGACUAUAUACGGAAUACAUGCCUACAUUACAUUGAUGAAUUGGAGCUAGUUCUGUGUCACCCUAUGUUAUGACUGUUACAUGAUGAACCUCGUCCGGCAUAAUUAUCCAUCACUGAUUCGGUGCCUACGAGUUUUCCAUAUACUGGUUUUCGCUUAUUUACUUUCCCGCUGCUACUGUUACAAUCACUACAAAAUACCAAAAACAUUACUUUUGCUGUCUUUACUUUUGUUGCCGCUGCCACCACUAUCAUAUUACUUUGCUACUAAACACUUUGCUGCAGAUACUAAGUUUCCAGGUGUGGUUGAAUUGAAACUCAGCUGCUAAUACUUGAGAAUAUUCUUUGGCUCCCCUUGUGUCGAAUCAAUAAAUUUGGGUUGAAUACUCUACCCUCGAAAGAUGUUGCGAUCCCCUAUACUUGUGGGUUAUCACAUUACCGAGUGAGCCCAGAGAUACCUCUCCUACAAUCGGAGUGACAAAUCCUAAUCUCGAAAUACGCCAACCCAACAAGUACCUUCGGAGACACCUGUAGAGCACCUUUAUAAUCACCCAGUUACGUUGUGAUGUUUGGUGGCACACAAAGUGUUCCUCUGAUAAACAGGAGUUGCAUAAUCUCAUAGUCAUAGGAACAUGUAUAAGUCAUGAAGAAAGCAAUAGCAACAAACUAAACGAUCAUCGUGCUAAGCUAACGGAUGGGUCAAGUCAAUCACAUCAUUCUCUAAUGAUGUGAUCCCGUUAAUCAAUGACAACUCAUGUCUAUGGUUAGGAAACAUAACCAUCAUUGAUUCAACGAGCUAGUCAAGUAGAGGCAUACUAGUGACACUCUGUUUGUCUAUGUAUUCACACAAGUAUUAUGUUUCCGGUUAAUACAAUUCUAGCAUGAAUAAUAAACAUUUAUCAUGAUAUAAGGAAAUAAAUAAUAACUUUAUUAUUGCCUCUAGGGCAUAUUUCCUUCGGUCUCCCACUUGCACUAGAGUCAAUAAUCUAGAUUACAAAGUAAUGAUUCUAACACCCAUGGAGCCUUGGUGUUGAUCAUGUUUUGCUCGUGGAAGAGGCUUAGUCAACGGGUCUGCAACAUUCAGAUAUGUAUGUAUCUUGCAAAUUUCUAUGUCUCUCACCUAGACUAUAUCCCGGAUGAAAUUGAAGCGUCUCUUGAUGUGCUUGGUUCUCUUGUGAAAUCUGGAUUCCUUCGCCAAGGAAAUUGCACCAGUAUUGUCACAAAAGAUUUUCAUUGGACCUGAUGCACUAGGUAUGACACCUAGAUCGGAUAUGAACUCCUUCAUCCAGACUCCUUCAUUCGCUGCUUCCGAAUCAGCUAUGUACUCUGCUUCUCAUGUAGAUCCCGCCACGACGCUUCAUUUAGAACUGCACCAACUGACAGAUCCACCUUUCAAUGUAAACACGUAUCCGGUUUGCGAUUUAGAAUUGUCCGGAUCAGUGUCAAAGCUUGCAUCGAUGUAACCAUUUACGACUAGCUCUUUGUCACGUCCAUAAACGAGAAACAUAACCUUAGUCCUUUUCAGGUAUUUCAGGAUGUUCUUGACCGCUGUCCAGUGAUCCACUCCUGGAUUACUUUGGUACCUCCCUGCUAGACCUAUAGCAAGGCAUACAUCAGGUCUGGUACACAGCAUUGCAUACAUGAUAGAGCCUAUGGCUGAAGCAUAGGGAACAUCUUUCAUCUUCUCUCUAUCUUUUGCAGUGGUCGGGCAUUGAGUCUUACUCAACUUCACACCUUGUAACAUAGGCAAGAACCCUUUCUUUGCUUGAUCCAUUUUGAACUUCUUCAAAACGUUGUCAAGGUAUGUGCUUUGUGAAAGUCCAAUUAAGCGUCUUGAUCUAUCUCUAUAGAUCUUGAUGCCCAAUAUAUAAGCAGCUUCACCGAGGUCUUUCAUUGAAAAACUCUUAUUCAAGUAUCCCUUUAUGCUAUCCAGAAAUUCUACAGAAAUGCUACAGAGCUCCCACUCACUUUCUUGUAAAUACGGGCUUCUCCAAAAGUCUGUAUAAAACCAAAUGCUUUGAUCACACUAUCAAAGCAUUUAUUCCAACUCCGAGAGGCUUGCACCAGUCCAUAAAUGGAUCGCUGGAGGUUGCAUACUUUGUUAGCUCCCUUUGGAUCGACAAAACCUUCUGGUUGCAUCAUAUACAACUCUUCUUCCAGAAAUCCAUUCAGGAAUGCAGUUUUUACAUCCAUUUGCCAAAUUUCAUAAUCAUAAAAUGCAGCAAUUGCUAACAUGAUUCGGACAGACUUAAGCAUCGCUACACGUGAGAAGGUCUCAUCGUAGUCAAUCCCUUGAACUUGUCAAAAACCUUUCGCAAAAAGUCGAGCUUUAUAGACAGUAACAUUACCGUCAGCGUCAGUCUUCUUCUUGAAGAUCCAUCUAUUCUCAAUGGGUUGCCGAUCAUCAGCAAGUCAACCAAAGUCCACACUUUGUUCUCAUACAUGGAUCCCAUCUCGGAUUUCAUGUCUUCAAGCCAUUUUGCGGAAUCUGAGCUCACCAUCGCUUCUUCAUAGUUCAUAGGUUCAUCAUGGUCUAGUAACAUGACUUCCAGAAUAGGAUUACCGUACCACUCUGGUGCGGAUCUUAAUCUGGUUGAUCUAUCAGGUUUAGUAAUAACUUGAUCUGAAGUUUCAUGAUCAUCAUAAUUAACUUCCUCACUAAUUGGUGUAGGUGUCACAAGAAUCGGUUUCUGUGAUGAACUACUUUCCAAUAAGGGAGCAGGCACAGUUACCUCAUCAAGUUCUACAUUCCUCCCACUCACUUCUUUCGAGAGAAACUCCUUCUCUAGAAAGGAUCCAUUCUUAGCAACAAAAGUCUUGCCUUCGGAUCUGUGAUAGAAGGUGUACCCAACAGUCUCCUUUGGGUAUCCUAUGAAGACACAUUUCUCCGAUUUGGGUUCGAGCUUAUCAGGUUGAAGCUUUUUCAUAUAAGCAUCGCAGCCCCAAACUUUAAGAAACGACAACUUUGGUUUCUUGCCAAACCACAGUUCAUAAGGCGUCGUCUCAACGGAUUUCGAUGGUGCCCUAUUUAACAUGAAUGCAUUCGUCUCUAAAGCAUAACCCCAAAACGAUAGUGGUAAAUCAGUAAGAGACAUCAUAGAUCGCACCAUAUCUAGUAAAGUACGAUUACGACGUUCAGACACACCAUUACACUAUGGUGUUCCGGGUGGCGUGAGUUGCGAAACUAUUCUACAUUGUUUCAAAUGUAGACCAAACUCGUAACUCAAAUAUUCUCCUCCACGAUCUGAUCGUAGAAACUUUAUUUUCUUGUUACGAUGAUUUUCAACUUCACUCUGAAAUUCUUUGAACUUUUCAAAUGUUUCAGACUUAUGUUUCACUAAGUAGAUAUACCCAUAUCUGCUCAAAUCAUCUGUGAAGGUGAGAAAAUAACGAUAUCCUCCACGAGCUUCAAUAUACAUUGGACCACAUACAUUUGUAUGUAUUAUUUCCAACAAAUCUGUUGCUCUCUCCAUAGUUCUGGAGAACGGCGUUUUAGUCAUCUUGCCCAUGAGGCACAGUUCGCAAGUUGUCGUGGUUUUAUCACGGCAGAUGUCCUAUUGAAAGGACUUAGUUGUGGAGCCAUCGCUACGGGUUAGAUUGAAGGGGUUAAAGUGGACACAGGAACGCAAGAGAGUUUAUACUAGUUCGGCCCCUUCAGUGAAGGUAAAAGCCUACCUCUAGUUGUGAUGGAAUUGAUGGGUGAUUCGGUGACUAGGGAGCAAAUAAGCUUCGCCUAUGUCUCGAAUUGUUGUCUAUUGUCCCUGAACCACCGCCGGGUCGUCCCCUUAUAUACAUGGGUGACGCCUGUCGGUUCAGAGAGUCCCAACACCAGUUCAUACUCGUAUCCGGGUUGGUCUCUCCUUGUUCCUACUUAUAUUACAAGUAUAUGCACAAAGCUGAUGUACGGCUACAGGUUGUAAACCGACUACGGGCCCUGGGCCUUUAUCUGCCUCUUUGGGCUUUAACACCUUUGAACUACUGAUGGAGUUAAUCUGGCCCAGGUAGGCCGGUUUAUGCCCAGUAGUAAUAUCCCAACAUUAGGCCCCAGAUUGAUUUGAACAGGUUCAUGUCAAUCCUUAGCAAAAAUCUUCGUCUUCAACAUCUUCUUGUAGUUUUUGAACCGCCGUGACGUCAUCUUCUCUGUUUGCUGUAAACUGGCAUGACAUCAUCUGUCAUAAAGAAAACAUCCAUGCUAUCUUCUUGUUUAACAGAUUCGCAAUGACCGAGGUGACCGCCCUACUUCCAAAAUCUGUGGUCCCUUGAUUCCCGCGCCUGACACAUGUCCUUUGCCUUAUAAAUAGGCCCGAAGGGUCAUUUCUUUCCUUCCCUCCGUGCCCUUCCUCUUCGUCUUCCUCGCGUCGCCAGUCUCAGAGCUCCACCGCCGCCGUCGUCUUCUGCAUCACCCUUGGCCGCUGCAGCAACUUGAACACGCCAGAAAGCCACGGCGACCUUCCGCGUUUUCCUCAGCUCUGGUAGGUCUUCUGUUCUUCUCAACAUAGAUCUGAUCUAGGGCUUCGUGUUCUUGCGGUGUUCAUCACUUGUUCAUACUCAUGUACUAUCUCCUGGAUGCACAUGCGAACCCUUGCUUUGUGUAGCGGUAACUUUUAGUACCCACCGUUAGUUUCCUGCCCAAAACCGUAGAUCUCACAUAUACUUCUGCCCAUUGAUUCAAUAUUGUUCUGCUUUGAUCUUCGACUAUUUUUCUUAUUUUCUGAACUUGCUUCAGAUCCAAUGCCGUAACAAGACCUUGUGAAACCUGUUUCUGCAUACUUAACCAUCCGCAAUCUCAAUUGCUUCAAUGUUUAGAUCAGGCGGUUUAACCUGAUAGAAAAUUUUCCAAACCGGUAUAUGCCAUUAGUCCCCUUGUUGAACCGCCAUAUGUUGUUGCUUCAUAAAACUCCGGUUUAGAUAGAUCUGCUUCCGGUUUAACGUUGCACAUAUCAAUAUACCUUGUAGAUUUCAUCAUGGCCAAGCAAGUGUAUGAGUGCAACUUGGUCCCUUCUCGCGUCACAGAGGAUCAACUGGAGGAUUUAGUCCUGAUUGGCGCCUUGGGCAGCAAAGACACCAUCCAUUGGAGGGCUCCUGGCAAAGAAUUCCCCCCCACACCUCGAGAAGGAGAGGUUGUUGUCUUCGUAGACCACUUAGCCCGGGGUUUUAAACCGCCCGGUUCUAAAUUUUACCGGGAUGUUCUAGCUGAUUUCCAACUCCAUCCGCAAGACACUGGCCCCGACUCUGUUACAAAUAUGUGCCACUUCCAAGUGCUCUGUGAGGUGUUCUUUCAAGAGGAGCCCACGGUGGAAUUAUUCAGAGAUCUUUUCCAUCUAAACCGCCGUACUGAGUUUACUGAUGGCUCUAAUACGAAGUUGGGUGGCAUGGCGAUUCAAAAAAGGAAAGAGGUCACAUACCCUCACGCCAAGCUGCACAGUCACCCCAAGGAGUGGAAUCAGACAUGGUUCUACUGCAAAGAUACCUCCCCUGCUGGUGAGAAUCGCUUCCCUGGUUUUUGUCCGGAGCGGCUCAGCAAUACCCAUCCUUUUCCUCAAUGAUUGACUGCCCAGGAGAGAAGCAAAUAUGCUCCCCAGCUGUCAAAGCUCAGAGCCUUUAUGGCCAACGGUUUAACAGGGGUUGACCUUGCUCGUUGUUGGAUAUCAUGGAGCAUACUGCCCCUUAGUCAGCGCUCCGGUUUGAUGUGCGAAUAUACUGAUAGUGUGGAUGACCCACUGCGACAUUCAAGACUCCAGCUGUCCGGUGAAGAAAUCACAGAGGCUGUGCGUAAGAUACUGAAUGAACCGGAGCACAUCUGCGCUAGAACCAGCCUGCUUCCCUUCUGCGCCACCAACAAACCGCCAGUUGUAAGACAUUGAUUUUUCUCUUUGCUGAAUCUGUUAUCGAUAUGUCUGGCCAUUGAUUCUAAUAUCAGUGUCUGCAUAAUCAGGGUGAUGACCCGUUUUGGAGCAAAAAGCUGUCGCAGGAGAAACCAGAGAAAACAGAUAAACCGGAAAGGGCAACCCGGCAAAAAACUAAAGCUGUGAAGAAGACUACCCACCGGAAAAGAACCACUGCAUCUUCUAAUCCGGCCCCUGAUGACAAGGUGGAUAAUCCGGACUUUGAGGUAGAGCUUGACUCACUUGGUUUAUUUUUCAUGCAUCUUAUUGAUGAUGAUAUUUGUCAGGAUGAUGCUGAAGCCAGCCAUGCGGAUGUUGUAGAGGUAAUUAUUCUCUCUUCCGAUUCAGAAACUUUGCCUUCACAAAAAAUCCAUCAGGCAAACUAGAAAGUUAAAUUUUCUCAUCCUCUUGCUUAUUUGGAUCCUAAACUUCUUAUGAAGACUCAACAACACAAAGCUCGCCGCACCACCCGGCACAGCGGCCAGGUAGUUACUUCUGCCGGUUUACCGAACAGUCCGGUUCGGAAACGUCAUUCCGAGGUCUCUAAUUCACUUGUCAAUACUUGUCCUAAAGCGGGCUGCUUUCGUCAACCUCUUAAUCCGGCUGACUCCGAUUAUCAGGCUAUUUCCCACUCAUCUUCUGGCGAGUCGUCGGCUACUCAGCUCCCACCGCUCAAAACGGUGCUUGGGUAAGCUAUAUUUAUUGUGAUGUUUGCAGUAUAUUGCCUUAGAACAUAUGUUGUAUUUAAUUUUGUUAUUUUUCUCAGGGCCAAACCUAGGCCGAGCAAGAAGGCCCGCCUGGAUAAAGCGGUCGAAGAAGAUGUCAUUCUUGAACCAGGCACAACACCCAAUCUUGAAGCGGCUAUUCCUGAGGAUAUUCCCAAUGAUCCACCGCAGCCAGAUGAUGAUCUUACUGCUGAGGAAAGACCUACUAAUACCUCAGGUCCUAUCCAUCAGCCCACAGGUUCCCUCCGGGUUGAAAGCUCCACCGGUCUCGCAAAACCUACUGACAAGCCAACAGCUCCAGUGCAAACCGGCGGUACGAAUGAUGAUGAAGUUGUCAUUACUGGCACUGGCCAUACUGAGCCAAGCAACCCUGUCGCUUUAUCCAAACAUUCUGCCAAGGAGGAAUUAGCUGCUUUUGGCAAAGGCAAGUGGAAUGCUGAUCUGACGGCUUACGCUGCUCUGAACGCCCGAGAUAUCCAUUCUGUCUAUCUGAACCGGCUGUAUACCAGCCGUGACUAUGAAGUCGGUCUGGUUAAUAUGAUGAAGGAUAAAUAUGAGGUAACUUCCAUAUGCUCCUUCUUGCUUGUAUGCUUUCAUUCUUGUUGACUCUCCUAGCCCCUAAGGGCCGAUUUGAAAUAUUCUUUCAAACCGGGACUUAAUACUAUGAAUCUUGAUGCUUUGAAAUUUGCUAAUGUAGUCCCCAAGGGCCGGUUCAACUUAGCGUAGUUAAACCGGUACUUUAAGUAAAUGAAACUGCCGCAUCAGAAUACAUAUGAUCAAAUAGCCAUUAGCCCCCAAGUGCCAAGUUGAAUACUUGUAUUGAGCUUGGGACUUUGUAAACAAUUGAAAGAUGAAGAUCGAAUAUGCAUUAGCCCCCAAGUGCCAAGUUGAAUACUUUUAUUGAACUUGGGACUUUGUAAACCAUUGAAAGAUGAAGAUCGAAUAUGCAUUAGCCCCCAAGUGUUAAGCACAUAACUUGUUAUGUGGUUGGCACUUGAAUCCUUCUACCAAUUUGUUGAAGCAUAUAUCUAUAUGCAUGCAGGCGGAGCUAAAGACGAAAGAGAACCAAGUCAUCGAUCUUCAAGAAGCCCUGAAAACCCAACAAGCUGAAACCUCCAAAGCAAAAGAGGAAUUGGCCAGUGCUUUAAGCGCCAUGGAACAACUUAAGGAAAACUUCAAAAAGAAACGGGCGGACUGGGCCACUGAGAAAUCCGCUUUGAUCAAACGAGUAGAGGAUGCUGAGGCUGCACUAAAACCAGUGGCAGAUGAACUGACCAGCAUAAAGCGGCACGUGCAUGCCAUGACUGCUGCUAUCUUUGGUAAGCCAGUUUUCCUACUGAAUUGGCUCUGCCUUCUGACAAAGUCGCCGGUUUAUUAACCCUUUAUGGUAUUUCAGGGACACGCAUUGGUCACUUGGGGUCAGAUGUACGGAAGAAGCUAAAAGCCGCCUAUACAUUGGUUGAACAAUUGUAUACUGGUGCCCAGCGGAUCAUCUGUACCGCCUCUCAUAACAAACCGGUGCCUACUUUGAUUCAAGAUACUCUGAUGAAACUGUCAGUGCUUCCUGCCCGGAUUGAAGAGCUAAAGAAAUCUGCUGCUCAAACCGGCGCAAUCAAUGCUUUAAUCCGGGCAAAAGCCUGGGUGCCGGAUUUUGAUCCUGUUGAAGCGGCUCAGGGCUAUCCCAGCUUGAAAGAAGACGGAUUAGAAUUCGGUGAAGCGGAUCUGCGAGCGAUAAACCGGGAGGUGCGUCCACUAGCUUGUCAGUUGGCUGAGGAAGCAGACUUGUCUCGUUAUCAAGCGCAAUAUGACAGUCAGAACAAGCGAAUAGCUGCGCCAAUCCAUGAAUCAUAAAAUCUGAUUCCUCCAAUCCGUAAGCAUACUUACGCUCCCGAUAUUGACCCGUCCUUGCUGAUCCACGAUGAAGCUAUUUUUCAAGCAUUAAUGGGAAUCGACUGGACAACUGUGGAUUUCCAGCCACUGGGUAGGGAUACGGAGGCUGAAGCGGCGCAGGACGACCUACAACCAUCAGGCCAGGCUGGUGACCAAGCUUGAACCGGAUGCCGGUUUAAAACUGCCUCUUCUUCGCGAAAAACAAUUAUAUUAUUAUGGGCACCAUGUUGCCUUGUAAUAGGCUAGCUGAUACCUUUGAUGUUGAUAUGCCUUCGUGCAUAAUUUGUUCUUCCUGUGGCAAUGAACUUUCCAAAAUACUUUCUGAAAUGAAAAAUUCGUCAAGUGCCACCGCGGUUGUACCGUCAGGCGGAAUAUGAUGUCUGCAUAUAUGAAAUCAGAACAAAAUUUGAAGUAUGACCAAAUUUCGAGAUACAUAAUACCUACCGUCAUUGAGCGUGAAGUUGGCUUGGCCAAUCUUGAAGCGGAGUUUUGCAAACCCAUACUGUUGGAGGAGAUAACAGCUCCUGUAUAUAUAUAUGACGCUGGUUUACCAUGUAAACCAUGCCGGGUUAUGAUAAACACCGUGUUACUCCAUAAGAGGAUGUUAACAACAAGGAUCAAACCGGACAAAUAGUCUCCGGAUUGACGUGAACUGUGUUCCGUCAAUUGAUUGGUUAAAAAACUUUGUUGGUUUAAAGAACACAAUAAAAAGAAAAAAAAACCUUUAAAUAAAAGUAUGAAGCAAAAGCAACGACAAAAACGUUUGCCAAAAAAGAUUUAUUUAAGCUGAUCAAAUGGCGUAACCAUGGCUAAACACGACCAAGCUCCCGUUAGGUGUAACUAUGGUUCUAGUUAGCCAGGUCCCCAAGUGAUUCUUGUGGCAUUUAUGCCAACCAAAUGGCGUGGUCAUGGUUCGGGUUCGACCAAGCCCCCAAGUGAUUCUGUGGCCUUAGGCCGAUCAAGAGGCAUGACUGGUUCAGACAUGACCAAGUCCCCAAGUGAUCUGGUGGCUUUCGCCUAUCAAGAGACGUGGUAUUGGUUCGGACACGACCAAUCCUCCAAGUGAUAUAACACGAUGCUUUUAGCAAAGCGAACUCAAGGGGUAAACCGGAGGCCGUUUUAGAGCAACUCCGUGUAACCUCACAUGAUGUAAAAGAACAGAUACCCCGCUUUAGCUGAGGUUCUGGUUUAUUAUACUUAAUCAUAAUAUAUACAUUGUAUGUACAUAAGUAUAGCCAAUGGCUCAGGUAUAGUAAGGCCGAAGAUGAGCUAUAUUCCAUGGCCUGUUAGUCUCUUCCCCUGAUGCACGUGAGUCCUUAUGCUCUCGAAUAUCGAUCAGAUAGUACGACCCGUUGUGCAGAUUCUUGCUGACCACGAAAGGCCCCUCCCAAGGUGGGGAUAGCUUAUGCAUAUUGGUCUGAUCUUGGAUGAGCCGAAGCACCAAAUCUCCUUCCUGGAAGGCUCUGGUUCUAACUCGGCGACUGUGAUAACAACGAAGAUCCUGCUGGUAAAUCGCCGACCGGGCGGCUGCAAUGUCACGCUCUUCAUCCAACCGGUCCAAAGCAUCUUGCCAUGCUGUCUCGUUGUCCGCUUCAACAUAAGCCGUGACACGAGGUGAGUCAUGACGGAUAUCGCUGGGGAGAACCGCCUCCGCUCCAUAAACCAUGAAGAACGGUGUGUAUCCUGUUGAUCUGUUGGGUGUUGUAUUGAUGCUCCAUAACACAGAUGGUAAUUCUUCUACCCAACAACCCGGCGUUCUCUGCAAAGGAACCAUGAGCCGGGGCUUGAUGCCUCUCAAGAUCUCUUGAUUAGCUCUUUCUGCUUGACCAUUGGACUGUGGAUGUGCCACUGAUGAAACGUCGAGCCGGAUGUGCUCCCGUUCGCAGAACUCCUUCAUAACACCUUUGGAUAAAUUGGUACCAUUAUCUGUGAUAAUACUAUGCGGAAAGCCAAACCGGAAAAUCACCUUUUUGAUGAACUGAACAGCCGUGGCCGCAUCACACUUGCUAACAGGUUCUGCCUCCACCCACUUUGUAAACUUGUCCACCGCCACCAGGAGGUGGGUCUUCUUAUCUUUGGACCUUUUGAAAGGCCCAACCAUAUCCAGCCCCCAAGUCGCAAAUGGCCAAGUAAUUGGAAUCAUCCUGAAUUCUUGAGCCGGUACAUGAGCGCGUCUUGAAAACUUUUGGCAACCAUCACAUCGUCUGACCAGAUCCUUCGCAUCAGCAUGAGCAGUUAACCAAUAGAAACCAUAGCGAAACGCUUUAGCCGCCAGAGACUUUGAACCGGCAUGGUGACCACAAUAUCCUUCGUGGAUCUCCCGCAAAAUUUCACGGCCUUCUUCAGGAGACACGCAACGUUGAAAAGCUCCUGAUACACUGCAAUGAUGCAACUCACCAUUGAUGACAGCCAUGGACUUGGAUCGCCGGAUUAUCUGCCGGGCCAGAAUCUCAUCUUCUGGCAACUCGCCCCGGUUCUUGUACGCCAGAUAAGGAAGCGUCCAAUUCGGAAUAACAUGAAGAACUGCCACCAAUUGAGCCUCCGGAUCAAGAAUGGCCAAAUCCUCUUCACCAGGGAUCUUCACCGACGGGUUGUGCAGCACAUCCAGAAAAACAUUGGGUGGGACCGGUUUGCGCUGAGAGCCCAGCCGGCUUAAAGCGUCCGCCGCUUCAUUUUUCCGCCGGUCCAUGUGGUCCACCUGAUAGCCUCUGAAAUAACCUGCAACAAUAUCCACCUCACGACGAUAUGCUGCCAUGAGUGGGUCCUUGGAGUCCCAAGUGCCAGACACUUGCUGAGCCACAAGGUCCGAAUCACCGAAGCACUUAACUCGACUUAGACUCAUCUCCUUAGCCAUCCGAAGACCAUGGAGCAAGGCUUCAUACUCAGCUGCAUUGUUAGUACAAGGGAACAUUAAACGGAGAACAUAACAAAACUUAUCACCUCAUGGGGAAGUUAAUACGACUCCAGCCCCCGAGCCUUCCAACUGCCUGGAUCCGUCAAAAUGGAUGGUCCAAUACGUAUGAUCCGGCUUUUCUUCAGGUGCUUGCAUUUCCGUCCAAUCAUUGAUGAAAUCAACAAGUGCUUGAGACUUAAUCGCUGUCCGAGGCACAUAUUUCAAACCGUAUGGCCCCAGCUCUAUAGCCCACUUUGCAAUCCGGCCAGUUGCUUCCCGGUUCUAGAUGAUAUCUCCCAAAGGAGCAGAACUGACCACCGUAAUUGGGUUCCCUUGGAAGUAUUGCUUAAGCUUCCGGCUUGCCAUAAAAACUCCAUACACCAGCUUCUGCCAAUGGGGAUACCUUUGCUUGGACUCAAUGAGCACCUCACUGAUAUAAUAGACCGGACGUUGAACCGGAUGCUCCUUACCUGCCUCCUUUCGUUCCACCACAAUAGCCACGCUGACCGCACGAGCAUUAGCAGCAACAUAUAGCAGUAACGGCUCCUUGUCAAUGGGAGCGGCGAGCACAGGCGGAUUGGCCAAUUGCCGCUUUAAGUCCUCAAAUGCUUCAUCAGCAGCAGAACUCCAGACGAAUUGAUCCGUCUUCUUCAACAUCUGAUACAAAGGGAUCGCCUUCUCACCCAGGCGGCUGAUAAACCGGCUUAACGCGGCAAUCCGGCAUGCCAGGCGUUGAACAUCAUUGGUACACUUCGGUUUAUCCAGGGAGGUGAUGGCUGUGAUCUUCUCCGGAUUAGCCUCAAUUCCCCUGUUGGACACCAGAAAGCCCAAUAACUUGCCCGCCGGUACACCAAAGACACACUUGUCCGGAUUAAGCAUCAUCUUGUACGUCAUUAGGUUAUCAAAGGUUUCCUUCAAAUUGUCAACCAGAGUCUCCUUCUCCCUGGAUUUAACCACGAUAUCAUCCAUGUAAGCAUGUACAUUACGGCCAAUCUGCUUGUGAAGACAAUUUUGUACACACCGUUGAUAAGUUGCCUGGGCACUUUUGAGCCCAAAGGGCAUAGACACAUAGCAGAAGGCUCCAAAGGGAGUUAUGAAUGCCGUCUUCUCCUGGUCCUUAACUGGCAUUUUGAUCUGAUGAUAACCAGAAUAUGCAUCCAAAAAACUUAAAUGCUCACAACCCGCCGUAGCAUCAAUGAUUUGAUCAAUACGGGGGAGGGCAAAAGGAUCUGCUGGACAAGCUUUAUUAAGAUCUGUGUAGUCCACACACAUACGCCAGGUGCUGUUUUUCUUAAGGACUAGCACCGGAUUCGCAAGCCACUCAGGGUGAAAAACUUCAACAAUAAAACCAGCUGCUAAGAGCCUGGCUACCUCUUCCCCAAUCGCCUUGCGUCUUUCUUCGUUAAACCGGCGGAGGAACUAUUUCACCGGUUUGUAUUUAGGAUCCACAUUAAGUGUGUGCUCAGCGAGUUGCCUCGGUACACCUGGCAUGUCAGAGGGCUUCCAUGCAAAAAUGUCCCGAUUCUCACGGAUGAACUCGAUGAGCACACUUUCCUAUUGCGGAUCCAAGUUGGCACUAAUGCUGAACUGCUUGGACGAAUCGCCAGGCACGAAGUCAACAAGCUUAGUUUCUGCUGCCGAUUUGAACUUCAGGGCCGGAUCAUGCUCCGUAGUUGGCUUCUUCAACGGAGUCAUGUCUGCCGGAUCAACAUUGUCUUUAUAGUACUUCAACUCCUCGGUGGCACAAACCGACUCUGCAUAAGCCGCAUCUCCUUCCUCGCAUUCCAAAGCGAUUUUGCGGCUUCCGUGAACCGUUAUUAUCCCCUUGUGACCCGGCAUCUUGAGCUGCAAAUACACAUAACAGGGCCGAGCCAUAAACUUGGCGUAUGCCGGACGCCCAAACUGGGCAUGAUAUGGACUUUGGAAUUUCACCACUUCAAACGUUAAUGUCUCCAAUCUAGAAUCAUGAUCAUCCCCAAAGGCCACUUCAAGAGCUAUCUUACCAACGGGAUAUGCUGAUCUGCCAGGCACUACACCGUGGAAUACUGUAUUGGACAGUUUGAGAUUCUUAUCUGUAAGUCCCAUACGACGGAAGGUCUCAUAGUAUAGGAUGUUAAUGUUGCUCCCUACAUCCAUGAGCACUUUGGUGAACUUAUAACCUCCCACCUGAGGCGCCACCACCAGAGCCAACUGACCCGGAUUAUCGACCUGGAGUGGGUGAUCCUUUCUGCUCCAUAUGAUUGGCUGUUCAGACCAACAUAGAUAACGGGGUGUGGCCGGUUCAACAGAGUUGACUGCCCGCCUUUGAACCUUCCGGUCUCGCUUGUCCAAGCUAGUGGUAAAGACAUGGUACUGCCCACUACUCAACUGCUUUGGGUUGCUUUGGUAACCUGACUGUUGCUGCUGUUGGUUGUGACCAUCCUGGUUGUUUUGACUAUUUUAACCAUUAUGUCCGCCCGGAUUACCAUUAAAUCCUGAACCAGAACUUCCUCCACCGUAACCCGGCCCGGAUCCUGAGCCGCCGCCAGAUCCGUGAUCAUACCGGAAAUUAUUAGAAUUCUUGAACUCCUGCAUAAUAAAACAAUCCUUCCAAAGGUGGUUUGUUGGCUCCUCCUUCGUCCCAUGUUUUGGACAGGGCUGGUUUAGCAAAUAGUUCAGGCGGUUUGGGUUGGGGUUGGGCGCUCCACUACAAUUUUUCGGCCUGCCCUUGCGCCGCUGGCCAUUGUCCUGUACGUUGGUAUUAGCCACAAAAUCCAAGUUGCCAUCCGCUUUACGCUUGCCUCCUCCGCCAUUGCCUACCCAGUGAUGUUGCUGACCUUUGGAGCUGCUGUUCUUCUUCCCCUUCCCUGUCUUGUCAUCAUCAGACUCGGGAUCCUUGGUACUAUCAGAAUCAGCAUAUUUUACCAAAGCGGCCAUGAGGGUUCGCAUGUCGGUGCAAUGAUGCUUCAUUCGUCCCAAUUUCAACUUCAGGGGCCCAAACCGACAGUUGCCUUCUAGGGUUAAUACUGCGGUGUCAGCGUUGAUGUGGUCUGAGGAGUGCAACACUUGUGAAACCCGGCACACCCAAUGAGUCGUUGACUCUCCUUCCUCUUGGACGCAUGCAGCUAAGUCCACUAUCGACAUAGGCUGUUUACAGGUAUCCUUGAAAUUGUUGAUAAACCGGGCUCGUAAUUGGGCCCACGAGAUGAUAGAAUUAGCGGGCAAGCUUUUUAGCCAAGUACGGGCCAUUCCUUCAAGCAUCAUGGUGAAGUAUUUCGCACACGCCGUGUCAUCCACAUCAAGCAUCUCCAUGGCCAUCUCAUAGCUCUCUACCCAUGUCUCUGGUGGUUGAUCCGCCGUAUAAUUUGGUACCUUGCGUGGGCCUUUUAAAUCCUUGGGCAAACACACGUUGCGUAAAGCGGGGACGAGGCAAGGCACCCCCAAAGAACUAGAAGUAACACCAGGUUCGAUCGAAAUGGUUGGACGAACCGGCGUGAGCUGCCGAGCCUGAUGCUGUGCGGCUAACUCGGCCUCCCUACGCACUCGGGCCCGGUUCACCACUUCCUGAGCGUCAUCAGCACCACCCGUCGGGUUGUUACCACGGGUGCUCCACUUCGUUCAUUACUCGAUACUGCCGGUUCAUCCAUAUGUCUUCUAUAGCUCCGGCUCGGACGGGGGGUCGAGUGGAUUCGGUCGCGGCUGUACGAGUACGCCUCCUGUUGGGCCAAAGCUGUCCUCAGAAGUUCCUUGACCCGUCGCGUCUCUACUGCUUGCGGCGAGUCACCUUCAACUGGAAUGGCCUCCAGUCGUGCAGCAGCGGCAACAAGAUUGUCCAUUGGGUUGGAGUAGUGACCCGGAGGUGUUAAAGCAUCCCGAGGUAUAACGGUGUUUUGACGAGGCGGGUCGAUCUGACGAGGCUGAACCGGUGCACCGGUCCCAGGGGCUUCUGCCCGGUUCCCCUCCAGCGGAUUUCUGGCUCUUGGCCCUGGAGUGUUGAAAAGGUCUCUGGCCUCGAAAACCGGAGGUAAGCGGGAUCGAUGCUUCCUUCUCAUGACUUCAUGUGAUGCGCUCUGGUCUAACAUAAGCCUGUAGGCCUGUGCGUCUAAAGCAGCCCACUCUGCGGCCAUCCUGGUGUCCUCAGCCGUCAGAUCUGCCUUGGCAUGGGUGAUUUGUUCCUUUACCUUUGCAAUCUCCGUAUUGUGAACGUCCUGAUCUGGCGGAUUAACUUCCGCCAUAAGCACAGCCAACGCAUCAAAUAGCUCUGAUAGAACCUGAGCCGGCGGGCGCACAGGGCCUCCUGCCCCGGCGGCCAUUGCUGCUGCUAAACCGGAAAUCGUUGCCGCAGUUGUCGAAGAAUGAAGCGCUGCUUGUGUUCCGGCCAUGAAUAUUCCAACCCGGUUGGGCGGAUCAGAGGGGUCCGGAAUACUGUCGCCAUCGGAAUAGCUCCCAAUCCGGCCAUCUUGUAGCUGAUAAAGAGAUUCGGUUUCUCCGGUCGAAGAUUUGUCACCGGAACGAACGGCAGUCGCCCCGCGAAGCUCCGAUCCAUCCUCAUAACUCCCUCCAUGGAUCAUUCCCACGAAGGCACGCUUCAUGGCCGGUUUAACCCGGGCGGAUCGCGUACGCUGAGCCGUCUCAACGAGGUCGGUGCAGAUGUCCGGCUCAGGGCCCGGUUCACCGAUCUUGCCAAUGAAAACAUGAAUGCUACCAAAGGGGACCUGGUACCCGUACUCAAUUGAGCCGGCCUCGGGGCCCCAGCCUGCGUCGUCGGUGUAGAGUUUGCCGCGACGACUCUUAGUCAUCCGGCCUAUAGCGUGGCCCUCGAGUCCUUCAAAGCGGCCCUCCAAGAACCGGAAACCAUCAUGCGAUAGCCCCAUGGUGGGUGCCAACUGUCGUGGUUUUGUCACGGUAGAUGUCCUAUUGAAAGGACUUAGUUGUGGAGCCAUCGCUACGGGUUAGCUUGAAGGGGUUAAAGCGGACACAAGAACGCAAGAGAGUUUAUACUAGUUCGGCCCCUUCAAUGAAGGUAAAAGCCUACCUCUAGUUGUGAUGGAAUUGAUGGGUGUUUCGAUGACUAGGGAGCAAAUAAGGUUCGCCUAUGUCUCGAAUUGUUGUCUGUUGUCCCUGAACCACCGCCGGGUCGUCCCCUUAUAUACAUGGGUGACGCCUGCCGGUUCAGAGAGUCCCAACACCGGUUCAUACUCGUAUCUGAGUUGGUCUCUCCUUGUUCCUAACUUAUAUUACAAGUAUAUGCACAAAGCUGACGUACGUCUACAGGUUGUAAACCGACUACGGGCCCUGGGCCUUUAUCUACCUCUUUGGGCUUUAACACCUUUGAACUACUGAUGGAGUUAAUCCGGCCCAGGUAGGCCGGUUUAUGCCCAGUAGUAAUAUCCCCAACACAAGUACCAAGUGAUUCAUAAUCAAGUGGUUCCAAAAGUCCAUCCGAAUGGAGUUUCUUCAUGCGCUUUACACCGAUAUGACCUAAAUGGCAGUGCCACAAAUAAGUUGCACUAUCAUUAUCAACUCUGCAUCUUUUGGCUUCAACAUUAUGAAUAUGUGUAUCACUACUAUCGAGAUUCAUCAAAAAUAGACCACUCUUCAAGGGUGCAUGACCAUAAAAGAUAUUACUCAUAUAAAUAGAAAAACCAUUAUUCUCUGAUUUAAAUGAAUAACCGUCUCACAUCAAACAAAUCCAGAUAUAAUGUUCAUGCUCAACGCUGGCACCAAAUAACAAUUAUUUAGGUCUAAUACUAAUCCCGAAGGUAGAUGUAGAGGUAGUGUGCCGACGGGGAUCACAUCGACUUUGGAACCGUUUCCCACGCGCAUUGUCAUCUCGUCCUUGGCCAGUGUUCGCUUAAUCCGUAGUCCCUGUUUCGAGUUGCAAAUAUUAGCAACAUAACCAGUAUCAAAUCCCCAGGUGCUACUGCGAGCUCUGGUAAGGUACACAUCAAUAACAUGUAUAUCACAUAUACCUUUGUUCACCUUGCCAUCCUUCUUAUCCGCCAAAUACUUGGGGCAGUUCCGCUUCCUGUGACCAGUCUGCUUGCAGUAGAAGCACUCAGUCUCAGGCUUAGGUCCAGACUUGGGUUUCUUCUCUUGAGCAGCAACUUGUUUGUGGUUCUUCUUCAAGUUCCCCUUCUUCUUCCCUUUGCCCUUUUUCUUGAAACUGGUGGUCUUAUUGACCAUCAACACUUGAUGCUCCUUCUUGAUUUCUACCUCUGCAGCCUUUAGCAUUGCGAAGAGCUCGGGAAUCGUCUUAUCCAUCCCUUGCAUGUUAUAGUUCAUCACGAAGCUCUUGUAGCUUGGUGGCAGUGAUUGAAGAACUCUGUCAAUGAUACUAUCAACAGGAAGAUUAACUCCCAGUUGAGUCAAGUGAUUAUGAUACCCAGACAUUUUGAGUAUAUGUUCACUGAUAGAACUAUUCUCCUCCAUCUUGCAGCUGCAGAACUUAUUUGAGACUUCAUAUCUCUCAAUCCGGGCAUUUGCUUGAAAUAUUAACUUGAACUCCUAGAACAUCUCAUAUGCUCCAUGACGUUCAAAACGUCGUUGAAAUCCUGGUUCUAAGCCGUAAAGCAUGGCACACUGAACUAUCGAGUAGUCAUCAGCUUUACUCUGACAAACGUUCUUAACGUUGUCAGCAGCAUCUGCAGCGGGCCUGGCACCCAGCGGUGCUUCCAGGACGUAAUUCUUUUGUGCAACAAUGAGGAUAAUCCUCAAGUUACGGACCCAGUCCGUGUAAUUGCUACCAUCAUCUUUCAACUUUGCUUUCUCAAGGAACGCAUUAAAAUUCAACGGAACAACAGCACGGGCCAUCUAUCUACAAUCAACAUAGACAAGCAAGAUACUAUCAUGUACUAAGUCCAUGAUAAAUUUAAGUUCAAUUAAUCAUAUUACUUAAGAACUCCCACUUAGAUAGACAUCCCUCUAAUCCUCUAAGUGAUCAUGUGAUCCAUAUCAACUAAACCAUAACCGAUCAUCACGUGAAAUGGAGUAGCUUUCAAUGGUGAACAUCACUGUGUUGAUCAUAUCUACUAUAUGAUUCACGCUCGACCUUUCGAUCUCAGUGUUCCGAGGCCAUAUCUGCAUAUGCUAGGCUCGUCAAGUUUAACCUGAUAUUCUGCGUGUGCAAAACUGGCUUGCACCCGUUGUAGAUGGAAGUAGAGCUUAUCACACCCGAUCAUCACGUGGUGUCUGGGAAAGACGAACUUUGGCAACGGUGCAUACUCAGGGAGAACACUUUUAUCUUGAAAUUUAAUGAGAGAUCAUCUUAUAAUGCUGCCGUCAAUCAAAGCAAGAUAAGAUGGAUAAAAGAUAAAUAUCACAUGCAAUCAAUAUAAGUGAUAUGAUAUGGUCAUCAUCAUCUCGUGCUUGUGAUCUCCAUCUCCGAAGCACCGUCAUGAUCACCAUCGUCACCGGCGCGACACCUUGAUCUCCAUCGUAGCAUCGUUGUCGUCUCGCCAAUCUUAUGCUUCUACGACUAUCGCUACCGCUUAGUGAUAAAGUAAAGCAUUACAGGGCGAUUGCAUUGCAUACAAUAAAGCGACAACCAUAUGGCUCCUGCCAGUUGCCGAUAACUCGAUUACAAAACAUGAUCAUCUCAUACACUAAAAUUUAGCAUCAUGUCUUGACCAUAUCACAUCACAUCAUGCCCUGCAAAAACAACUUAGACGUCCUCUACUUUGUUGUUGCAAGUUUUACGUGGCUGCUACUGGGCUUAGCAAGAACUGUUCUUACCUACGCAUCAAAACCACAACGAUAGUUCGUCAAGUUGGUGCUGUUUUAACCUUCGCAAGGACCGGGCGUAGCCAUACUCGGUUCAACUAAAGUUGGAGAAACUGACACCCACCAGCCACCUGUGUUCAAAGCACGUUAGUAGAACCAGUCUCGCGUAAGCGUACGCGUAAUGUCGGUCCGGGCCGCUUCAUCCAACAAUACCGCCGAACUAAAGUAUGACAUGCUAGUAAGCAGUAUGACUUAUAUCGCCCACAACUCAUUUGUGUUCUACUCGUGUAUAUGACAUCUACGCAUAAAACCUGGCUCGGAUGCCAUUGUUGCGGAACGUAGUAAUUUCAAAAAAAUUCCUAUGCACACGCAUGAUCAUGGUGAUGCAUAGCAACGAGAGGGGAGAGUGUUGUCUACGUACCCUCAUAGACCGUUCGCGGAAGCGUUAUAUCAACGCGGUUGAUGUAGUCGUACGUCUUCAUGAUCCGACUGAUCCAAGUACCGAAAGCACGGCACCUCCGAGUUCUGCACAUGUUCGGCUCGGUGACGUCCUCGCCUUCUCGAUCCAGCAAGAGGUGCGAAGUAGUAGAUGAGUUCCGGCAGUACGACGGCGUGGUGACGGUGUUGGUGAAGAACAAUCUCCGCAGGGCUUCGCCUAAGCACUACGAAAACUAUGACAGAGGAUAAAUAACUAGAGGGGACGGGGUUGCUAGCACACGGCUUGGUGUUUCUUGAUGUCUUGGGUGCUAGCCCUACCCCUCUAUUUAUAUGUUGAGCCUUGGGGUCGAAACUUGGAGUAAAAGUCUCCACAAAGUCGGUUUCACCCGAAAGGCAAGAGUCCUUCUCGGACUCCAGGGCCAGACGCGUCUGGACCCAGACGCCAGGGACCCUGGCGUCUGGCCCCUGGACUAUGCAAAACUUCCUUUUGCGCUUUUCAAAAACCUUGUGGGCUUUCCCCUUUGGCCCAAAUAAAGUGUUCUCGUACCCAAACAUUUCGGGAAACAUCUGGAACCCCUUUCGGUGAAUUCCGGAACCCAUCUAGUGACCAAACACUAUUAUCUCAUAUAUCAAACUUUAUCUUCGGACCAUUCCGGAGUUCCCUGUCAUGUCCGUGAUCUCAUUCCGGACUCCGAACAACAUUCGGUCACCAACAUACAUAACUCAUAUAGUACUAUAUCGUCAAUGAACGUUAAGCGUGCGGACCCUACGGGUUCGAGAACUAUGUAGACAUGACUGAGACACCUCUCUAGUCAAUAACCAAUAGCGGUACCUGGAUGCCCAUAUUGGCUCCUAUAUAUUCUACGAAGAUCUUUAUCGGUCAGACCGCAUAACAACAUACGUUGUUCCCUUUGUCAUCAGUAUGUUACUUGCCCUCGAUUCGUUCGUCGGUAUCUCAAUACCUAGUUUAAUCUCGUUACCAGCAAGUCUCUUUACUCGUUCCGUAAUACAUCAUCCCACAACUAACUCAUUAGUUGCAAUGCUUGCAAGGCUUAUAGUGAUGUGCAUUACCGAGUGGGCCAAGAGAUAUCUCUCCUACAAUCGGAGUGACAAAUCCUAAUCUCGAAAUACGCCAACCCAACAAGUACCUUCGGAGACACCUGUAGAGCACCUUUAUAAUCACCCAGUUACGUUGUGACGUUUGGUGACAGACAAAGUGUUCCUCCGGUAAACGGGAGUUGCAUAAUCUCAUAGUCAUAGGAACAUGUAUAAGUCAUGAAGAAAGCAAUAGCAACAAACUAAACGAUCAUUGUGUUAAGCUAACGGAUGGGUCAAGUCAAUCACAUCAUUCUCUAAUGAUUUGAUCCCGUUAAUCAAAUGACAACUCAUGUCUAUGGUUAGGAAACAUAACCAUCAUUGAUUCAACAAGCUAGUCAAGUAGAGGCAUACUAGUGACACUCUGUUUGUCUAUGUAUUCACACAAGUAUUAUGUUUCCGGUUAAUAUAAUUCUAGCAUGAAUAAUAAACAUUUAUCAUGAUAUAAGGAAAUAAAUAAUAACUUUAUUAUUGCCUCUAGGGCAUAUUUUCUUCAAGGCGUGGUGCCAGAUUCCUCCGUCGUUGUCGAUGUUGUCAUCGCCUCUGAUGUCAUGGCAGAGCCCCAGGUAUGUCGCCGCCAGUAUCGUUAGGUUUCCGAGGGCUGAGAGAGCAACAAGGAAGGGAAGGGAAGGGAAGGGAAUGAGGCGAAGGACAAUCUCGGGUGGAUAGGGCUUGCCUGGUACCCAAGGUACCAGAUCAAGAGAAAGCUGACUGAAGGGAGAUGUCGUCACGCCUCGGAUACGGGAAUAUCAUCCCGGCGGCGGCCGGACCUAGGGCAGACGCCGCCAGAGAGGUCGCGACUCAUGAGAGGAAAAAUCGUGCAGUGCCGCCUGCUUCGCGUUCCCUAAAAGACCGAGGUUGGCCAGUUAACCAGAGAAUGCCAAUUUUGUUACGGGAGCGGCGGCCCAUUCCCAUUCGCGGAAACUGUUACGCUCAGAGGUUGAUCCAACGGCCCAAAAUUGAUAUGACUAUCGAUCCAACGACCGAAAACACUGAUGGCCUUAGAGGGCUGGAACAGUGCUAGGUUGUAAUGUGUCUAAAAAUAAAUAACUGAAAUGGGAAAAGCCCAUGUAACCACUUGGUUUUUUACAAACCAACCGCUUAACUUCUUGAGAUCUAAAACCAGGUAUCUAACCCCCUCAUCUUUCUCAAACCAUGUGAAUCGGCUCUUAAAACAAUCUUAGAGUGGAUUAUGUAGGCGGCAUUGUAGGCUCUUAAAACAAGCUGCUCAAGUUCACAUCCAGCUGACACCAAAGCAUCGAUCCAGCGCGUUGGAAAGACACAAUGCUCAACCUCGCGUGGGACGGUGACACCGACAUGCACGUCGUGAUGUUCCCCUUCCUUGCCUUCAGCCACAUCAUGUCGUUCAUGCAGCUGGCGUGCAUGUUCUUAGCUACGGCGAAUGUGCCCCGCAUCGAAUUCAUGUCGGGCUCGCAGCCGACACAGUGCUAGUUGUGUCGCUGCUCUUCAGUGUUCGCCGGAGGGUCUCCUUGAGGGCGCCGAGAGCAUGACCAAGGUCUCGCCGGACGGUCAUGAGCUGCUCACGGUGGCCAUCGACGGCACCAGACCACACGUGGUGGCCCAUGGCCAUGCUCAUGGAGCUCUGCCCUGGCAUGUAUCGACCUCCCCUUGAUGUAGACUAGACUAGAUGGCGAGUCGUCGACGGCCUGAUCUUUCACGGUACUAGCAGCAGAAACAAGAAAUUUCGGUCGAGUAAAGAUGCAAGACCGUAAGAUCAGAAACUUAUGUCGAGUAGGUUAGAUCGACUCCACACGCAACAGCAACAAAAUCCCUUCGGAUCAGCAACAAAGAUAUUUGAUGUCCCCCGACAUGGGACAUUUUCUGUAGUUUUAUUGAACUCGCGACUAAAACAAGAAUCUGACCUGAUACAUCGGCCAUAGCCAGCCUUUUAUAUAGGCGUCACACGGCCAAACCGACCGACGAGAGAAACUAAAACGACACGGACUCUAUAUCAACUAAUCUCUGUUAUACGUAUAGGAAUCUCUCUCCUAACCAUACUAAAUAAUGUUUUCCUAAUAAAAUAAUACGGCUACGCUGAUCACGUACAUCUAACCCAACUUAACUAGGACUCUUAGUAAAGUGGAACCCCAGUUGGAAUUUCUCCAGCCAGGUUACAAUUACAUGGUGGUGUUCUGAAGUUUGGCUUGAUGUCUUCCUUCCAUGAUUCAGCUAAGUGAAUUUGAAUACCAACAGAGCCAAUAUAAAGUAUACACGAAGUCUGUGUAGAUGCAUGCGUUGGAGCUUUCAAUUCCUUUGCACUGAUACUAUUGUGUUUCUCCGUUAUCUUGAACAUAUGGCACGACCCGAUAUCUCCAUGGUGUUUCUUUCUUUUCUAGUAGCUAUAACACCAAUGACCACCCCUACUUGUUCCCUAACUUCUACAGCGAGCCGUGCAUGUACGGCUGCUACGUCCUCACUAGGUAGCCUUUUGAGACCAACGACGCCCUCGUAAUCAAUGUGUGUGUCUAGAUGGAAGGCCGCUACAUUAGCAUCAACAUCAGAUCCCAUGACACCAGAGCGCGGGGUGCUUCACGAACCACGCGGCGCUGUGCUUCAUUGUGGAGGGGCUCACUGCCGGGCAACCAGCCGGUGCUUUCUGCAGACUAGUAAGUAUGCACGUGCAAUGCACAUCUCGAUCAAAGCAUCUGUGAAAUUCGUGUGAGUACUGAAUUCUGAGUUCAUAUUUAAAUAAUUAAACCUCCCCAGUGAAAUGAAGCUUACUGUAUACUACUCCCUCCGUAGACAAAUAUAUGAGUGAGUUCUAUUUUCAACAACACAUGAAAAAUAGUAAUAAACCCGUGUAAUAGCAGCAUCUAUGACAACCAUAUAGAGAUUUGAAUAAUAAAAAUGAAUGAUAAAAAGUGCCUGCAUGAAGCAUUACACUGCUAUACGAUAUUGGACCAAAGUAAACAUAUUUGCAAUCCU
Molecule: long non-coding RNA, 51016 nt
Filed under: Triticum aestivum (bread wheat)
Lineage: Eukaryota; Viridiplantae; Streptophyta; Magnoliopsida; Poales; Poaceae
Description: long non-coding RNA (TAES_LNC006487)
Source: RNAcentral